CUAUAUAACUGGAGCUAGCAAAGAGCAGUUGGAGAAAUCACCAUUCCUUGAGAGGCUAACAAAGAAAAAUUAUGAGGUAUGAGUCUUUCUUAAGAUAGAAAGGGAAGAUUGGAAUGCUGCAUAACAAAAUAACUAGUGGUUUUUUUAUUUUGACGAAAAGUAUUAGUCAUCGUUUCUUGCAUUGUGGGUUUGACUAUGUUCCUUGUCUUUGAUAUUUGAAUUCUCUUAUGAAUGCAUUUGUCAUGUCUUCUCUAAAGAUUCAUUUGCUAUGUUUGCCAUGUUUCAUUGUUUAGGUGAUUUUCUUCACGGACCCCGUAGAUGAAUACCUGAUGCAGUACCUUAUGGACUAUGAAGACAAUAAGUUCCAAAAUGUGUCCAAAGAGGGCCUGAAACUGGGCAAGGAUUCAAAAGCCAAAGAGCUCAAGGAGUCAUUUAAGGAGCUAACCAAAUGGUGGAAGGGUGCUCUUGCUAGUGACAAUGUAGACGAUGUCAAGAUUAGUAACCGUUUGGCCGACACCCCUUGUGUAGUUGUGACAUCGAAAUAUGGUUGGAGUGCCAAUAUGGAAAGAAUCAUGCAGUCACAAACUCUGUCAGAUGCAAACAAGCAGGCGUAUAUGCGGGGGAAAAGGGUGCUUGAGAUCAACCCUAGGCACCCAAUUAUCAAGGAGCUUCGGGAUAGAGUAAUCAAGGACCCUGAGGUACACUUGAUUUUAUCUCUACACAUGUGAUCAAACGAUAAAUGUUAUAGAAAUGGCUAACUGUUACUAAUUUCAUUAACUUGGUUCACAGGAUGAGAGCGUGAAGCAAACGGCUCAGUUAAUGUACCAAACAGCAUUACUGGAGAGUGGUUUCCUGCUCAAUGACCCAAAGGAUUUUGCCUCCCGCAUCUACAGCUCAGUUAAGAGCAGUUUAAAUGUCAGCCCUGAUGCAACAGUUGAGGAAGAAGAGGAUAUUGAGGAACCUGAAGCUGAAACUGAUGACAAAGAAGCUGCUGCCAAAGAUGAUUAUGAUGCCAAGGACGAAUUAUAGAUUAGUCCAGAAGAAUGUCCUUUCUCUAGAGAAAACUACGUAGCAGUCACAUGCUAUAAUCGGAGUGCAUGUGGAUAAUUAGGUUUCAGAUUUUUUAUCCUAGGUUAAUGUUACAAGUUAUCAGGAUUUUGUCUGUUUCAAUUUCACAGAUUUUUGUAUGAGAACGUUGCUGAGUUUUCUGCAACAUAAUGUAAUCUGCGAUCCUCUUUUCCUUUUUACCUCCAGCUGCUAUCCUCAUAGAUGCCCUUGCCAAGUACACCAAUCUCAAGAUGCACCAUCUAAUUUCUAGCCUAGUCCACGGAGGAGCUCUUUGUUGGUUUUAAGCUUUGAAUGCUACCUAAAAUCAAAAGUAUUGCAGGUCUACUGAAAGUUUCAUAUAGCCUGUUUGACCAAGCUUCUUUUGAGGCAAAAUCGUCUUUUCUUUGGUCAAAAGUGUUUUUUUCUAAAAUUAAGUUGUUUGGCCCAGCUUUUGAAAGGAAAAAAAAAAAGCUUUUGAAGAGAAACAGAAGCAGAAAAGUGUAGUUUCUGUCCAAAAGUAAAAAAUACUUUUGAGAAAAAUACACUUAGAAACAAUUUUUUAAAACUUGGCCAAACACUAAUUGCUGCACAGAAGUACUUUUUAAAUUAUUUAGCCAAACACAUUGUUUCUAACUAAAAGUACUUUUGAGAAAAAGUAUUUCUCAAAAUAAAUUGCCGACACCAAGCACCCCGGCAACUCAAGUAACCACAAAAUGAGAUAGAGGGAGCAAUAAAUAAGGGAUCAGGGCUUUUCCCAUUCACAGCUAAUAUCAACCUCAUCCCAAUUAAGGGGAAUAAACACAAUCACAUCAAUAUUUCAGUCUCAUCCCAAAUAAGGGGAAUAAUCACAAUCACAUCAAUAUUUCAGUCUCAUCCCAAAUAAGGGGAGUAAUCAAAAUUCACCCCUACACCGGAACGUGUUUGCAGCUUGGCCAAAUGGGCUAAUAGUGUACUAGUAUGUGUUUUUGAAUCCCAUGUAAUCGUCACUGAAUUUUAUCUCAAAAUGCCCGACCAAAGUUAGGGAGAAAUUCAAAAAUAGCCAGAUUUUCAAGUGGUCAUUCAAAAAUAGUCACAGUUUCAAAAGUAAUCGAAAUUUAGCCACUUUUCAUGUAAAAAUAAAUUUGAAUGAAAAUACUAUUCAAAAUUCGGAAAAUACUCCAGCAUAAUAUACUGGAAUUCCAGCACAAGUAUACUGGACUUCCAGUAUAAUAUACCNNNNNNNNNNNNNNNNNNNNNNNNNUUUGCAAACGCUGACUAUUUUUGAAUGACCAGUCCGAAAACUGGCUACCCGUGCUAUUUUUACCCAAAGUUAAUGUAUGUUUAACCUUAUGCGAUGCAAGAUGAUUCGCAAUAGGGCAAUGCAAUAUCAAGGAGAAAUCUUUUUUUGCAUGAAUAUAGGUUACUAUGAGAUUUUUCAAGUCUGCAAGAGGGGUUAACUUCGGAAAUAGUCAAUCCAGACGUACCUUGUUGUAUAGCACCUUACUCAUUUUGUCCCUAUGAGGGACAAUAAUAGUGAAAAACAUAAAGAAAUUUCAGCAAGAUCAACAAUGAAAUAGGGAAUUUAUUAGUAUAUUCAUAUACACAGUUACAUAUAAAAAAAAUUUAAAUGACUUGAUUGUAUUCUACACUUUAAAUGAAUAAAACGAACUUUUUUUUUACAAAUGUACCGGAUAUGGAAAAGAUGCAUUUUUAUAUAACACUUACUUCUUGACAAGAGAGGGUUGCUGAAUUGGUAAGCACUCUUCAUUAGGGGUGGGUAUAAGCCGGUUCAAUUCGGUUCGGUUUUGAACGUUAUCAGUUAGUAAAUCAGUUAUCAAUUUAUGAAUAUGCUAAACCGAUAAUCGAACUAAUUUAUCGGAUAUCCAUUAAUCGGUUAUCGAUCGUCAACUGUUUGAUUAUCGGUUUACCCGAUAAGACAAAUUAAUGACUGAUGAUUAAUGAGUCUUUUGUACAGGAGCUUCAUGAGCUUAGCAAAAUGAAUCGUAAUUAAUGCCUUAACAGAACCAAAAGUUGUUAGAAUUGUGACACAACAAUAGAUAAACUAGUUUAUCGCUUCUCGUCUAGGUUAUUGCUAUCACUGAGCACUUACAUGAUUGUAAUCUCUCAUUUACGCCAUAGAAAUUUAGAAGAAUAUCUCUUGUAUUGAUCACGUUCUAUUAAUAUUCUAGAUUAUCAGGUCAGAGUUUCGCUACGUGAUUCUAUAUGGGUCAAAAUUCUGACUUUAGAAUAUUUGAGCCAAGAUAGUACUAAGGGAAGGGUUCCCAAGUCAUCGUUUGUUGAAAUGGCCCAAGAAACAGCGAAUCCCGUGGUCGAAAAGUUAAUGAGAACCGUAGUCGAGGUGUCAACAAGGGUCAAGGCCGAGGUCGAGUACCGUUGACAGAGCUGUAACGGCUAGUUUUCAAGAUAGGAUUAAUAUUCUAGUGGAUAUUCUUUGCACUUGUACUAUUAGGGUUUCUUAGGAAUAUGUCCUGUAUAAAUAGAAGAGUUUCUUAGGAAUAUGUCCUAUAUAAAUAGAAAAAGACACAAUGAUAGGGGAUAUGUGAUACUCAUUUGUAAAAAUACACACUUUGACUUGAGAAAGAGAAUCAGAUCUCACUUGCUAAGAUACAAACAUCACCUUUUCACUAAAAUUCUUGUCAAUACUUUUCCACUAGAUAUGAGAAUAACUCAAAUAUUCAAGGGAUUGUCUAUCAUUCAUCAUUGUUAGAAAGAACAUCCCCUUAUUCCAUCCUUUCUUGAGUGAAUUAUUCCUUCUAUUUACUUAAAUGUCAUUUAUUGCUAUUCAUUAUUAUUGAAUGCUAUAUUAUUGCUUCUGAUUUUUAGAACAUUUAUUGUAUAUUACUGUUACUGCCCGACUAGAUCCAGGCAAUAUUUAUCGCUUCUUUAAGAACUCCAUCUAAGGAUAUAAUUAUUAGCUAAUAUUUGAACCAAGAUAUAUAUUUUUUGGUCAAACAAUUUGGAGCUGUAUGUGGGGAUUUCUUUGUUAAAUUUUUAGUUUCCUCUAGAUCUACAACUAAUAUAGGUCACUAACGUCAAAAAACCCAAGAUCUCAUUUUUGUGUGUAUAUACAAUACCGUACAUGGCAGGUAACCAAGGAGAAAGGGAGAGAAUAACAAGUGACUUCCCAACUAACCUCAUGAAUGUCAUCAACUAAAGCUGUGAAACGGCAGGUGAGGACACGAUGCCCAGUGCGUCCCCUAGGCGAGAGGGAUCAUCGCCCCCACACUGCAGCAUAACGAAACCCCGUGGUAAAACUCCUCGAGGCGUGGCUAACCGACACACUAACAAGCGUCCUCAACAAACUCGCUCCAGGCAUGAUUCAGAAACCACAAGGACUUGCACGAUACAACAAACAUACGAGCAGUGCAACCAACCCCUCUCUCCAACGACAGGUACAACUCACAAUGUUAGUGCAGGUGACAAGGCCAUCACUGUCAUUUUAAAAAGGAUGGAAGAAAAAUAGACUGAAAACAAGGCGCUCCGAAACCAAAUGAAAGAAUACCAAGAAUGGGCUGACAAGAUACCGGGCGCUCCUAAGUUGCUGCCGAAAAGGUAUGCCGGUAGGUUCAUCGAGCAGCCAUAUAGUGAUGAUGCAGUCCCGCAUGCCAUACCAAAAACCUUCAGAAUGACGCCCUACCUCAGGAUUUACAACGGCACGACCGGCCCUGAAGAUCAUGUGAGUCACUACGUCACCACCGUGAAAGGUAACGAUCUCGCCAAGGAACAAGUGUACUCCAUUUUGCUGAAGAGGUUUGGCAAAACUCUCACAUGAGGGGCAUUAACAUGGUAUUCGCAGCUACCAGCACGCUCCAUUGAAUCUUUUGAAAAAAUGGUCGACAAGUUCGUAACCGCCCAUGCCAAAGCCAAGAAGGCCGAGGCGAGAGUGAACGACAUAUUUGUUAUUAAUCAGUCCCUGGGAGAGGGACUUCCUCGCCCGGUUCAACAGAGUAAGGAUGACUCUGCCAAACAUAUCCGAAGGGAUGGCGGUCGCAGCUUUUCAGAACGGGUUGAAUCAAGAGGAAAAUUAUUGAGUCGAUUGCUGAAAUAUCCUCCAACCACUUGGGAUGAAAUCCACAAUGCUUAUUCUGCCGAGGUCCGAGCAAAUGAGGACGAUCUCAACGGACAACUCACUGGCUAACCUCAGUACAGGCCGAAUCUAGAAAAGAACGAAGAGACAGUACCAGAAGAGAUCACCCGAUUCCAUGACCUAACAGGGAACGACACCAACCAUAUGUCAGGGCGGCCGCCGCACCCUCCCUUCGUUAUGAAGAAGGCCCGUCCAGACCAAGGACAGGGACCCAUCAGAACGAAAGAGGUAUGCCUCCUUUAUUAUCCGCUCACAAUUUUUGUGUAUCGCCUACAGAAAUAGUCUACGCCCUAGAGAAACUCGGAACAUAAGUGAAGUGGCCGCCAAAGAUGAGAUCAGACCCGAACACCAGAAAGUCUGAUGCCCUCUGUGAGUUCCACCAGGAACGCGGGCACAAAAUAGAAGAUUGCAUCGCCCUCAGAUAGGAAGUCGUAAACAUGUUACGGCAAGGGCACCUCAAAGAACUAUUAAGUGACAAAGGGAGGACCAACUUCACCAGAGGACGUGAACAUCGUGGACCGCCAAAGCCGCCAUCCCCAGCUCGUACCAUCAACGGUGGCGGCGAUGAUGCCUUUGUCAACGGCGUGAAGUUCACCACCACUUACAAACUCAAGCGGUCGAUCACCCGCGAAAGGUAUGACAGACUCGAAGAGAGUAUUAUCUUCGACGAGUUAGAUGCCAAUGGUUUGACUUUCCCUCAUAAUGAUGCCAUUGUUAUUACUUUAUGCAUUUUAUAUACCGAUAUCAAACAUAUCAUGGUGGACGAUGGAAGCGGUGCAUGCAUUAUCCAUCCCCGAGUCCUUACCCAAAUGAAGCUCGAGGAUAAGAUAGUGUCGUGAUGCAUCACACUAACUGGUUUUAAUAAUGCAAUUGAGCGAACAUCCGAGGAAAUUACACUCCCCGUCUUGGCCGGCGGCAUAACUCUAGAGAUAACAUUCCACAUCAUGGACCAAGCCACCGCGUACAAUGCCAUAGUGGGUCGGCCAUAGAUAUAUCCCAUGAGAGUCGUCCCCUCCAGCCUAUACCAAGUGAUUAAAUUCCUAACACCAUGGGGGAUAUUCAACAUACGUGGGUAACAACGCACAUCCCGGGAAUGCUACUGCAUUGCCUUAGACAACAUGACCACCCAACAGAGAAAAGACAAAGAAAAAAAGGCAUAGCAAUCAACAGGGUCGAGGUCGGAGCAAGAUGAGAUAUAUGACAUCAUCAAGAUCCCGACAUGGUCGAAGCCGCAGGAUUGACCAUAGAAGACCUCGACCCCAUUCAAUUGGACGUCAACGAUCAUAGCAAGAAGGCCUAUAUCGGCUGCAAACUUUGGAACCGUGUAAAUUCCGUCAAUUCUUAACAGUUAACGUUUUGUUUGCUUUCAGCCAUGCAGAUAUGUCGGCUAUCCCAAAGGAAAUCGCCAGGCAAAAAUUAAACGUCGACCCAUUCUACCUCUAGUGAGACAUGUCGGGCAUAAAUUCAACCUCGCUAUCAAUGACACAGUCCGCGAGAAGGUGGAAAAAGUGUUAGAAAAUGGUUCUAUCAGGGAGUCGAAGUACCCCGAGUGGGUCGCCAACGCAGUGAUGGUCAAAAGAAAAAUGGGAAAUGGCGAAUGUGCGUGGGUUUCACAGAUUUGAACAAAGCAUGUCCGAAGGAUUCAUUCCCAUUACCUUAUAUCAACCAACUCAUCGAUGCAACGGCCGGCAUGAGCUACUAAGUUUCUUGGACGCUUAUUCAGGAUAUAAUCAGAUCCUCAUUGAAAAAGAAGAUCAGGAAAAGACCAUGUUCAUCAUGCACCAAGGAACGUAUUGCUACAGGGUCAUGCCAUUUAGACUAAAAAACACAGAGGCUACUUAUCAAAGGUUGGUAACAAAGAUGUUCAAAGACCAGCUCGGAAAAACAAUAAAGGUAUAUAUAGACGACAUGUUGGUCAAGUCCAAAAGGGUAGAAGAUCACAUCGAUCAUUUGAAAGAAACUUUUGACAUACUCAAACGGUAUGGAAUGAAGCUGAACUCGGAGAAAUGCGCGUUCGGUGUAGCCUCAAGAAAGUUCUUGGGUUUUCUGGUAUCGCAUAGAGGGAUUGAGAUCAACCUAGACCAAAUCAAAGCCAUUGAAGGGAUACCAGAACUCUUGACCACAAAAAAUAAGUCCAAAGGUUGAUUGGUUGUAUCGCCGCCCUAUCAAGGUUCAUCUCCCGGUUGUCGGAUAGGUGCCAUAAAUUCUUUGGCAUACUCAAGAAAGACAACGGCCUCGAAUGGACUUCCGAGUGUGUCCAGGCUCUGCGAGAACUAAAGGCAUACCUGUCAUUACCACUAUUGCUUUUGAAACCUGAACCUGGAGAGCAGCUCGUCAUCUAUCUAGAUGUAUCUGAGGUAGUAGUAAGCGCAGUCUUAAUCCACAAAAACAAAGGUACACAAUCUCCCAUCUAUUACAUUAGCAAAAUAAUCGUCGACGCCGAGACGAGGUACCUACGCCUUAAAAAAUUGGCUAUGGCCUUGGUCGUAACUUCACGAAAGCUUAGACCAUAUUUCCAAUGUCACCCCAUCUCGGUCAUCACAACUUCCCCCCAUGAGGAGCAUUUUGCAUAAACACAAGCUAUCGGGAAGGCUAGCCAAAUGGGCUAUCGAGCUAAGUAAGCACGAUAUCAUAUACCAGCCGCGAACGACGAUAAAGUCACAAGUGCUCGCUGACUUCGUCGCCGACUUCAGCGCAAAAAUAAUGCCUGAAGUUGUCCAAACUUCCCUCCAAACACAAUACCUCUAGGUCCUAUACACCGACGGUGUAUCCAACACGUCAGGGUCCAGAUUGGGACUCAUACUCGAGGUCCCAACAUGCGAAGUGAUUUGCCAGUUCAUAAGGUGCCCGGAUAUGACUAACAAUGAUGCCGAGUAUGAGGCCAUAAUCCCAGGUUUAAGGCUAGCACUCAAAUAUGGAGCGAAACGGUUGAAACUGCGUUGUGAUUCCCAGCUCUUAGUCAACCAAGUCACAUGGACUUUCCAAAUCAAGGAACAAAGAUCGCAACAAUACCAGACCAAAAUCUGCAAGCUACUACCUGAGUUCAACGAAUGUCAGCUCGAUCAAAUCCCACGAGCACAGAAUGCCAAGGCAGAUUGCCUCGCCAAAUUAGCCGCAGCUUCCAAAAAAAUCAUGACCGGAGAUAAAAGCGUAGUUCACCUCCUCAACUCAUCACUGAACCAAGUCGAGGUAAGAACCAUAAACUUAACUUGGGAUUUGCGCAAUUGUGUUGUCGCAUACUUGCAGGAUGGCACACUCUCUGUCGACAAAAAAGAGGCCAAGAAACUAAGAAUGCAAGUGGCCAGAUACAGUAUCCUCUACAACGAUCUGUACAAAAGGACCUACGGCGGCCCUCUGGCGAAGUGCUUGGGCCCCAACCAAACUCAGUGCGUCCUCGAAGAAGUCCACGAAGGCCAUUGUUGGGCUCACUUCGGUAAUCGGGCAUUGGUCAGAUGCCUCAUACGGGCAGGAUAUUAUUGGCCCACAAUGAAAAAGAUGUCAUAGACUUCAUGAGGAGAUACGAGCAGUGCCAAAAGUAUGCCCUAAUGAUUCACCAGGCAGGCGAACAUCUCCACUCAGUCACCUCCCAUUAGCCGUUCAUCAAAUGAGGAAUGGACAUCGUGACCCCCCCUCCAAGUAGGGCAAGGUAAUGUAAGAUUCCUUUUGGUUUUAACUGACUAUUUCUCUAAGUGGGUGGAAGCAGGAGCAUUCGCCCAAAUACGGGAACAUGAGGUAAUCACCUUUAUAUGGAGAAAAAUCAUCUGCCGGUUUGGCCUUCCUAAAGAAAUCAGCUGUGACAAUGGACCAGUUCACUGGAAAGAAAAUUGUCGAAUUCUUCGAGAAAUGACAUAUCAAGAGGAUACUCUCGACCCCAUAUCACCCCACGAUUAACGGGCAAGUAGAGUCCUCCAAUAAGUCAAUACUAAACAUCAUGAAGAAGAAGCUCGAAGACGCUAAGGGACUGUGGUCGGAAAUACUACCAGAAGUAUUAUGGGCCUACCGAACAACUCCAAAAACAAGCACAAGAGAGACGCCAUACUCUCUGGUCUACGGGACCGAGGUAGUAAUACUAGUCGAGGUCGGAGAACCCAACCUAAGGUACUCCCAGGAGAGUGGCAUGAGUAACAACGGGAGUAGAAGGCAGGAACUCGGGGAAGUCGACGAACGAAGAGAUAUGGCCUACAUAAGAAUGGUCGCCCAACAACAACAAGCAGAACGCUAUUACAAUAAGAAAGCAAAGGUUAGGCCACUCAAAGUCGGGGACUACUUACUAAAAUCUAAAACUCAAGUGAGCAAAGAUCCUAGGGAGGGCAAGCUGGGAACAAAUUGGGAUGGUCCGUAUAAAAUCACAGCCGAAGCAAACAAGGGUUUAUUCCAAUCAGAGACAAUGGAAGGAAAGCUACUACCAAACAAUUGGAAUAUCAGCCACCUCAAAUACUUCAACUUCUAAGAGAAAAAACGUCCCCCAAGUCGUACUUUUUUUCCCCUCACUUGAGUUUUGUCUAAUUUGGGUUUUCUCAAUGAGGUUUUUAACGAGGCUACGAAGGGAACGCUUCGAGUCGAAGUAUGCGAAAGUAACGUCGUGGUUACUAUUUCAUUGCUCUACCUCUCAAUACUCUCCAGAUCGACCAAUGAAGGGACUAGAUAGACUGGGACUGGGACUGGAACGUCAGCCAACACCCAAAAUUUGUAAAUUUCUCCAAGUAUGUAACCAAAGAAACAAUGUCAAAUCAAUAAACUUUACACUUACCAGCAUACCUUUUUCACAUUAAUGUUAUGUUCGAUUACGAUCGAACAAACAACCACCGUUCUUCGGCCGCAAUUUAAUAAAAGGUUAUGUUCGACCCCGCUCGAACAAACAUCUACCGGCCCUCGAUUACAAUUUAAUGAAAGGUUAUGUUCGACUCCGCUCGAACAAAUACCUACCGACCCUCGACUGCGAUAUAACGAAAGGUUAUGUUCGACCUCCUUCGAACAAACACCUAUCGGCCAUCAACCAUAUCCCAACAAAUAAACAAAAAUAUACACAAGUAUAGAAAAUAAACCACAUGAAAGGAAGAAAAUGCAAGGAACAACUUUGAUAUUUCACAUACUUAAAAUUGUUUACAAUAGGCUCUUGAAGACGAUGCCAAAAAAUAUACAAAAAAAAACAAAAGAGAAGACUCCUGGCCACCACCAUCACGACCUUCAACAUCCUCGCCGACUUCUCCUUCAACAACGUCGCCACCCUGACAAUUAAUACCCUCGCUAUCGCCUCCUUCGCCCUCAGGAUAUGCAGCGUCAUACCAGGCAUUCUCCUCGAGCCGGUCUAUACCCUUAUCCACCUCGUCCUCACCAACCUCAGGCAUAACGGGAUCCUACCCAUAAGUGACUUGAGCUCCAUGAGAUUUAACACGAACAUCUUGGAGGGCAGCCUCAGAAACGGAUCCUGCUGCAUGUAAAUCUCAAAAGACAUCUAACUAGGCCUCGGCAUGAAUCCACUCCUCAUAACUCUCCCGAGGAACAUUAGGAAAAUCUGAAGUACAAGAAGAGGACGGUUGCGCCAGUAAUCGGGCCUUCUCGGCCUCAAGAGCAAUAACUCGAUCGUAGAGGCCAGAAGUCUCUUUCUCCAACUCUCAAAUCCUCUCAUCAAGCCGCUGUUCUUUAAGCUUUGCCGUUUCUUAGCCAUUUUCUUGCUCAAAACAGAGAGUCUAGAUCACCACCUCAAGAGACUCUGCCUUCCUCAAAGCCUCCGACCGAGUGGAGUCUGCCUUCUCUAAAUGCUCUGCCUUCUCGGCGACCUCGCCACUUAGAGCCUCCGCCCUGAAUUGACACUCCUCAAGAUGGGCACGCAGCACAACCACCUGAGCUUAGAGAUCGCUGUACUGGGCUUCGACCCCCUUGUUGAGCUCAAGCUCUUCCUUUUUUCUCCUCAACAUCCCCUCCAGGACGCUGCACUUCCCCACCAUCCACACCAGCUCCUCAUCCCUGGCCUUCAAGUCCCACCUCAGUCGACGCACAUUGCCGCCCCCACUAAGCUGACACCGAAGCUCCCGGUACUUCUCAAGGACUCUGAAGUACUAGUCCUUCAACUUUACAUAGAUAUCUUUACGCCUCUACUCCCUACGAGCACUCUCAAUUUCUAAGACGACCGUCUGCAAAAUGAACAAAAGCAGUUAGAGACUGUGAAAGAACAAAACCAAAGGAAAAACAACUAACAUCGAAUAUACUUACCCGAAGGGCGAGGCCGGCAAUGUUAUUUGACAGGUCAUUGUCAUUCAUAUCCUUGAGGGUCGUACCCUCAACUUCAGAACUGAGAGGGACAAAGGAAAGGAUAAUCUACUUGGUAUUCACGAGAAGAUUACGGUCCAUCGAGAUCGUAGUAGUCCUCGAACCCCCCUCCAACCUCACUUCAAUCUGCGUAAGCCCCUCGUCGAUCAUCCUCAGCUUAUCUGCAUCCAUGUAUGAAUCAGAUCCAACAUCCUCAUCAUCAACAACCUUACUUCUAUCAUCAGUCGAAGGAGGUACGUCUGACGAGCGCAAAAUAUAACACAAAAUUGAUGGUCGUUAAUCAAAGAUAGUAUAGUAUAAUAUCGUCUUCAUAGGGAUUGAAUUUAAAUAAUAUUUAAGUAAAUUAUGGUUUAAUUGUUAUUCAGGAGGAUCAACACUUGAGUUAAAUGAUUAUAAACUAAGUUUAACUACUAAAAUAAAGUAAUUAACAAUAAAGAAUUGGGAGAUUCGUAGAGUUGGGUUCUUAUAAAUAUGAGGAAUAAAAGUUUUGACAUGAUAUGUGCAAGAUAACUAUUUGGGAUUUAACUCUAGUUUAAUUCACUCUAAUAUUUUAAUGAUUCUCACGAAUUCACUCGAUUAUUUGUUCGAACGUGUAGUGAAGACUCCUCUCUCGAUUAAAUCUUAACUCUACGAGGUGAACUAAUAUAAGCAUUGUGAAGUAUGCAAGCUAGCAUUAAUGGGUUGGUCCUUAGGAAAACGUCUCUCGUAUAUUCUCCUAACUUGAUUCAAUCAACAAUUCAACAAGCUCUUUCGAUUACUUAAGAGAAUCAAUGAAUUAAAUCAAACAAAAUAAUGCAAAGAUAAUCACCAAGAUAUUCCUCUUUCGAUUAAAUAAACUGAUGAAUAAAGUUGCAACAAUUAAAAACUCCAUAAACGAAUUCAAGCAUGAACUAGAGUUAAAAUCCACAAAUAUUUAUCAAAACUUCAUAUCCGUCAAAUCCUAAGGUAAACUACUCCAUAAUCAUGGAGGAAAUUAUCACAAUUAUAAUUAAAGAAUAAGAAAGCAUCAAUCUAACUUUACAAUCCAGACUCCCGUAUUGAAUUGAUGAAAAUAUGAUGAAAUCCCGUGUCUUGUAGCCUCCAAUGCUCUCCCAAAGGUUCAGAGGUCAAAAGUCCCUUUAAAAAUAUCUUUUUGGUGUAUUUAUACCCGGUGAAAUUACCUUUUCCAAGUCAAAACAGGACAAAUACUCUGAGAAAAUUACAUAGGUGUGUCGCGCGUUGCGCCAUCCCAUGCGGGGCGCUAGUGGGGAAAUUAAGAGAGCAAGUUCUUACGGGCAGUAGGAAAAUUACACUACAACGCGGCUCCAUGCACCGCCUCAUGUGGCACGACAGUGGAGGUUUUACAUAGUUACAAUUUUUCUUCGCGUUUUGACAUCCAGGCUCGGCUCCCGACCACCGAAUGCGAUCCCCGUUUAAUCCCUUGGCUUUUACUAGGACUUCAAAGCCCCAACUUGCUCAAUUUAGCUCCCGAUUAUUUUUUUAAACUCGAAAUCACUUCCUAACAAGGCAUAAAACAUAUAAUAUAAGUGUAAUACACUAAUAUUCAAGCUCAAACACAAGUAAAAUACAGUAAUUAGAGUGCAAACUAUGACUAAAAUGCACGAUUCUAGCUUACCAUCAACGUCUGCCGCAACAACGGAAGACGAGGCCUCUUUGUGUCUUGGAAGAACAGGGUUGUCACGACCCAUCACACCUUCGACCGCAACCCCCUCAGGUUGUACAUCCGUAUCCUCCAAGAAAAUGGUCUUGGGACUAGCCUCUGGGCUCUCCCUGAUAUGCAAUGUGGUCGUCUCCAGAAGGACAAAGCCUCAGUCUCCCACAUCGGUGGCCGUCGACCUCUCCCCAUGACAUCCACGACCCUCCUCUUACAAGGCAUCAAAUCCCCAUCACCAAGCAAAGGCUCUUCGUCCUCAUCGAUAAGACGUUACAAGGGAGGAGUCGAGGUUUCUGCGGCCUAAGUCUCCACGACUGAAGAAGGGAUAGAUUCAGAUACAGCCACUAGAGGGACCAGGGCAUGAAUAGAAGCAACCGCAAUCGAAGAAGGGACCAGGGCACGAACAGAAGCAGUCGCACUCAAAGAAGGGGCGGGAGCCGAAGGCGUAGUAGCUUUCCUCUUUUGGAACGAGGGUGCGGGAGCUUUCGACCUCUUCGAAGAUCCCAUGACCGAAGCUAGGAAAAACAUAGGGAAGAGGAAAGAUCAGCAAAGGUAAACAAAAAGACAAAAAGAACUAAGACACGAGUGAUAAAAGGAACUUACCAGUCGAAGGGAGAGCAGGCCCAAACUUCUUAAAGAAACCUGACCACUCAUGGAUCCAUACGACGUGAGGGAGGAGCCGAUCAACCCAGUCAGAAAUGUCUUCGACCAAAGGAGGAGGCGAAGUUUCGGCUGCACAAGAAAAUGACAAGAGGUCAAAGCCCACGACCAAGCACGGGAGAAAAAUCAAAUACCUACAAACAAGGAAAUUAGUUACUUACGAGCAUGAUUCCAAGCUUCAGGAAAACCAUCGACACUGGCCACCACGUCCUCUAUUCUGACGAAGAAGAAGUUGAACCAAAAUUGGUGGUUGUCUUUGUCGUCCAUUUUCACCACCAAGAACUUGCCUCCUCGGUGGAGAAGAUUCAAGUGCCGAAGCAUCAGUUCGACCUCGGCUAGCUCGAAAAAUUUGGUGUGUAUCCUUAUAAGCUUAUAAAGGUACGAUGCGAGCUGAGCUGGGCAAACGCCGUAAUAAUGACACAAUUCCUCCACCGGCUGAAGGAGAGGGAGAGUGUAGCCGACUUGGAAGGGGUAGCGUAGAAGGCACAAUACCCAGGACGGUGGACCUGCACAGUAUCCCACCCAGCCGGGAUUAAUUCGAUGUGAUUGGGAAGGACUUAGCCUUAAGCUCUCCCAAUUCCUUCACCGUCAUCACUGACCGAAAGGCUUCAUGGUCAGUAUCAGGUAAUUUGGAGAAAUCAGAUAUAGUAUCAAGGUUGUGAGGAAUUACUCCUUCACCAACGGGAAGCUUCCAUCCUCAAUAACGGCAAGAACAUUCUCCUCGUGAGGGGGAAACACCAUCGCCAAAGGGAUCACAUCACUUCCCUCACUAGACUUAGAAUCCAUGUUAGACAUGUUUUGAUAAAAGAAAGAAAGGUAUCAAACGAUGAAGAACUGGGAACAAUGCAAAUCACUGGAACAGAGAGGAGAGGUUUAAAGCAAAAAAAAAGCAAGAGAGUAACAUAGGGUUUCGAAACAACAGAAAACUUAAAACUUCAAAAUCACACCAAAAUACCUCAGGAUCUUGCCACCAAGACCGAAAAUGGUUCAUCAUUACUGGGCACCGAAACCGAAGCGACAAGUUCAAUCAAAGGACACAUGCGAAACGAAGCAACACAUCGGGAAUAUGCGUCAAAAUGACGCAUAACGUCAUGACGUCAUCCUAACUCGUGGACAUCAUAGCUCCAACAAAUCGCCUGGGAAAAUCGAAGCGUUUGAAAUGAGCAGCCCACGUAGGGCCACGUUGCCAGUUUGCUGUAACCACCAUGACCUGCACAGCUCGCUCGAUUAUUUUAACCACAACGAACAAGAUUCGCUCAUCGAACCCGCCUGAAGCCGGCCUCAAUAAGCUGAGGGACUAACUGUAUGGGUCAAAAUCUGACUUUAGAAUAUUUGAGCCAAAAAUAGUACUAAGGGAAGAGUUCCCAAGUCGUCGUUUGUCGAAAUGGCCUAAGGAGCAGCGAAGUCUGUGGUCGAAGAGUCAACGAGAGCCAUAGUCGAGGUGUCAACAAGGGUCGAGGCCGAGGUCGAGUACCGUUGACAGAGUUGUAACAGCUAGUUUUUAAGAUAGGAUAUUAAAGAGAAUAUUCUAGUGGAUAUUCUAUGCACUUGUACUAUUAGGGUUUCUUAGGAAUAUAUCCCAUAUAAAUAGAAAAAGAGACAAUGAUAGGGGACAUGUGAUACUCAUUUGUAAAAAUACACACUUUGACUUGAGAAAGAGUAUCAGAUCUCACUUGCUAAGAUACAAAUAUCACAUUUUCACUAAGAUUCUUGUCUAUACUUUUCCACUAGAUCCGAGAAUAACUCAAAUAUUCAAGGGAUUGUCUAUCAUUCAUCAUUGUGAGAAAGAACAUCCACUUAUUCCAUCCUUUCUUGGGUGAAUCAUUCAUUCUAUUUACUUAAAUACCAUUUAUUGCUAUUCAUUAUUAUUGAAUGCUAUAUUAUUGCUUCUGAUUUCUAGAACGCUUAUUGUAUCCAACCAGAUCCACGCAAUAUUUAUCGCUUCUUUAAGAACUCCAUAUUUGGAUAUUAUUGUUAGCUAAGAUUAAUNNNNNNNNNNNNNNNNNNNNNNNUUUAAGUUAUAUAAUAUUGACUGUAUAGGUAUUUCUUUUAUUAGUAUAAUUUAACUUAUUAUAGCAUGUUAGUUAUCAUGUUUAUCGAGUUAUCAAUUAAUGUUUGUAACAAACAUUUGAUAAUUGUUUUGUAAGUCAUUCUUUAAAUAGUUUUAGACAAUUAUGCAUGGAACUUCAUUCUAGUUAAAAAUAUUUUCACAAGGAAUGCUCGAAGGUUAAAACUAUUGACUUGACUUCGCUGCAUAAUGUAUGGUCACCACUCACCUUACAUCUUUUGUACUUACCAAUGAAAGAAGAACACGUGGUUCUCAGACGUAGCUGCUACGAUAAGUAAUUCCCUGUAAUUCUAUUCCAUGAACCUCAACGCAGAAGAUAGAAACCAGGUCUUCGUUCGCGUCGACUUGUAGAACAAAAGUUUUCUCCACGUCUGAAGAGGCGACAGGAACCAAUAAAAUCACGCCACGUAUAGAAUCACACAUCUUAACCGUUGGAUCGUCCACGCUGGCAAAAAGGAGAUCAAUUAGGAAAAUGAAUCUCCUAGGUGACACAUACGGCGACGAGCUCACUAUAUAUAGUCGCUCAAUGGAAAUGGCGCAACUUAAAGAAGCAAAAUUUCAAAAGCCGCUGAGGUCUGAGAGUGAAAUCCAAUACAAAUGAGGAAGUGGACGAUCCCUUCCGUUCUGUUUCUGUUAUGUCUUCUUUUCCUUCUUCCAGAUCAAGGUAAACUAGGGUAUUAUGUUCAGCUUCCUGUAAAUUUUGAGAUCUCAUGGAAUUUUCUUGUUAUAUGUAUGUAAGACUGCAAUGUUAUUUUUGAAAUAGUUGAAUUAGAUGAUAAACUAAUACUGUGUAUCGAGCAUUGGGCAGUAAAUUUGCCUUAUUAGUCUUGGAGUUUAUGAGGCUUUUUUAGUCCGGUGUUGCGUUGAGACAUUGCUUCCAUAAUUAUUUAAGGAAUUACUUAGUUGAUUGAUUGAUUGAAUUGCUUAGUGGAGUACGGACAUUACUGCUUUAUUCUGAAGCAUGAUUUUUCCACUCACUAGGUCGGAGGAUACAAGCAAAUGCGGAAGCUGAAUCUGACGCCCCUGUAGAUCCGCCAAAGGUUGAGGAAAAGCUUGGUGCUGUUCCACAUGGUUUAUCCACUGAUUCUGAUGUCGUUAAAAGGUUUCCGAAUCGUUGAUUCAUUUAGUUUGUUUCGCUCUGAUUCAUUGCCUUCAGCUUCUUUGUAUGUUCAUUGCUCUGAGUACUAUAUCAUUAUAGGGAAUCGGAGUCUAUGUCAAGGAAAACUCUCCGAGCUGAUGCAGAGAAAUUUGAGUUCCAAGCUGAGGUCUCUCGGCUUAUGGACAUCAUUAUCAACUCCCUUUACAGUAACAAGGACAUCUUCUUGAGGGAGCUGAUCUCGAAUGCAUCCGAUGUAAGCAUACUUUUAAGUCUCUGGGGAUGUUCGACAUUAUCUGCAAAUGAUUUCUUCUAAGUUAAUAUGCUGUUAAAUUCAGGCGCUGGACAAGAUUAGGUUCCUGUCACUUACUGACAAGGAAGUACUUGGGGAAGGUGAUAACACUGAGCUUGAGAUCCAGGUUGGUGAUUUGUGUCCGUUGUUUGUGUAUACUCUGUUGGUUGCUAGUACAGGAAGUUGCUCUUUUAAAAGCUGUUCUGAUGAUUGUAUUGUUUAUUGCAGAUUAAACUGGAUAAAGAAAAGAAAAUUCUUUCCAUUCGUGACAGAGGUAUAGGAAUGACUAAGGAGGAUUUAAUAAAGAACUUGGGAACUAUAGCUAAAUCUGGAACUUCAGGUAAUCUAUCUGGUGGAUAUGAGAUUUGUGGUGUUCUUGGAGUUCUCUUUACUGUUCACUAAUUUGUUAUUGCUCAACAGCCUUUGUUGAGAAGAUGCAGACAAGUGGAGACCUUAAUCUGAUUGGACAAUUUGGUGUUGGGUUUUACUCGGUCUAUCUUGUAGCUGACUAUGUUGAGGUCAUCAGCAAGCAUAACGAUGACAAACAGUAUGUUCUUGUUUGAAUGUGUUGAUUAAUGACAAUUCAUGUAAUGGGAAUGUUGUUAGUGAUUUAACAAAUUUCUGCAUUCAGAUAUGUCUGGGAGUCGAAGGCUGAUGGGGCAUUUGCCAUUUCUGAGGAUGUAUGGAAUGAACCUCUUGGUCGUGGAACCGAAAUUAGAUUGCACCUCAGAGAUGAAGCAGGAGAAUAUUUGGACGAGUACAAACUGAAGGUGUGUCUGAUAGAUACUUCCCAAGGAGACUCUUUUCAUAUAUCAUGAAUUGGUGCAUGCCAACACUUUAAUAUUUCACCAGUCAUUUAGAGUAAUUUUUAUUUUUCAUUCUAAUAUUGAUUUUGGCAUAGUAGGUAAUAAUAUAUUAUAAUGCUGAAAUAAAUGGAAAUAAACAAUCUUAACCUUUUGUGCCUUGGUAUUGAUUUAUCAAUUCCUUUUUGUCCCACAUUAUCCAUUAGACCUUUGUAUAAGGUAAAUAGUUUUAUUAACAUUUGGGGGAACCCCUUGUACAAGCUGUAUACCAAAAAAAGAGAACCUACACCAAAAUAUGGUUCUCAACAAACGAGAUCCAAUCUUAUAUACAAUUAGGGACCUCAUGAGCACACCUAAAAGAAACUAGAAACAAAAGACUACUUUGCAAUUUUAUAAACUCUUGUUCCACUCCUUCAAAUGCCUUUCUAUUUCUCUCUUUCCAAAUAACCCACAUGAUUGCUAAGGGGGCAACACUCCAUGUCCUUAGACUUUCUUCCCACUUCUAUGAGCCCAACUAUGCAGCACUUCCUUCACUGAACCCGCACAUCAUCCGCUAGAUUAUAUUCUAUUGCAGACUAGAAGUAAAUACUUUCCAAAAUUGAGGAACAUAACGAAGACCAGGGCAGUAAAAGGGCUGCAAACGUUUGUGACCCAUUGAUUUGAAGCUAGUUCUAGGUUGUUUUCUUAUAUGAAUUUUUCUGCUCCCCCUUAGGAUUAUUUUAUUAUUUGGACCUUUGAUUGAAAGGGUGCAGUCUAACAGAAGAAACAACAGGACCAAUUACUUGAUAUUCCAUAAGUCUUGUAUUACAGUGGUUGAGAAUGAGAUGAUUAAGCUUAUGGAUGAAUUGCUAACUAAAAGUAAAAGUCUGUGAUAUUUGGGCUGUUUCUGUUUUAGCAUAUUCAAUCUUGUGCUUGUGUGUCUGUGUGGAGGUACCGUAAAUUUUUGUAGUUAGAAAAAAAAGCCCAACCUGUUGUUCUGUUGACUAAGUUUUUGGAUUCUUACAUUUUGGUACUUGUCAUCAGCAUCUAUCCUGAAUAUUCUCUACUCCAAAUUUGAUUAUUUUCCAGUUCAAGUUACCAGAUUAAAUUGAAAAUAAGAGUUUCUAUGGACAUACUUUCUGUUUCUAAAAUAAUAUUAUGUUUCUGAAGCUUCUGUUGAGGUUCUCUACAUUGCUUAAUGCAUGGGUUACCUUGUAUUCAGGACCUGGUGAAGAAAUACUCUGAAUUCAUCAACUUCCCUAUAAAUCUUUGGGCAAGCAAAGAGGUUGAGAAGGAGGUUCCUGUCGAUGGAGACGAGUCAAGUGAUGAAGAGGAAACAUGUAUGCGUGAUUCAUCCUACUUGGCUUGCCAAGUUUAUUCAGUGUUAACGAAGUCGGAACUUGUAGUGAAUGUGUUUAAUGCAUAUUUUAAGACCUGUUCCCUGCUCGGAGAAAUUGUUUGAGGUUUUGGGGGUGUGGGGGGUGUGGUAGGUUGCUAGAUGAAUUAAAGUUUACCCCCUCAUCUUUUAAUCUUAUGCGACCUCAUAGUCUUUCAAUGUUGUGAACAGCUGAAACCAGCCCUUCUGAAGAAGAAGGAGAUGAAGAUGAUUCUGAGAAGCCAGAAGAUGAGAAAAAGCCUAAAACUAAGAAAGUGAAGGAAACCACUUAUGAGUGGGAGCUUUUGAAUGAUGUGAAAGCUAUAUGGCUUCGGAAUCCAAAGGAGGUGACAGAGGAAGAGUAUACGAAAUUCUAUCACUCACUUGCAAAGGUAAAUUGCUACUUACAUACUUUCUUCCACUUGAAAUGCAGUGAGAAGAGUAGAAAACUUUUGUGAACUCUCUUAUCAUUUGCUAAAUUCUUGUAUUAUUUUGCCAGGACUUCAGUGAUGAGAAGCCCUUUGCUUGGAGUCACUUUAAUGCUGAAGGUGAUGUUGAGUUCAAGGCUGUACUGUUUGUCCCUCCUAAGGCUCCUCAAGAUUUAUAUGAAAGCUACUACAACUCCAAGAAAUCCAACUUGAAGUUAUAUGUCAGACGGGUCUUUAUCUCUGAUGAAUUUGACGAAUUGCUGCCCAAGUACUUGAGUUUCCUAAUGGUAGUUCUUGUUACUCUAGAACUUCACUGUUUAUAUUACGUAUGGGCCAAGAGUUUCUAACGCCAUUUUGUUUGACAUUAUGCUAGGGUCUUGUUGAUUCUGACACCUUACCCCUCAAUGUCUCAAGAGAAAUGCUUCAGCAGCACAGCAGCUUGAAGACAAUUAAGAAGAAACUCAUCCGCAAGGCCCUUGACAUGAUACGCAAGAUUGCUGAUGAGGAUCCUGAUGAAUCUAACGACAAGGAUAAGAAAGGUUAGUUUAUAUCUCUGAACAAUCCAUUGCCUAAGAGAUUGAAUUUCUCAUUUCCUCUUUUCUGAGUUUCUCAUGACGUUACAGAUGUUGAAGAAUCCAGUGCAGACAACGAGAAGAAAGGUCAAUACACAAAGUUUUGGAAUGAAUUUGGAAAGUCAGUAAAACUUGGUAUCAUAGAAGAUGCAACUAACAGAAAUCGCUUGGCUAAGCUCCUCCGAUUUGAGACGUAUGCCCUGUGUCUUAAGAGUAAUUCUUUGAUGAGAUUGUUAAGUCAAAUCAGGGUGACUGAUCCCUUGUCGUCUUAAUAUUUUCUCGUUUACAGCUCAAAAUCAGAUGGUAAACUAACUUCCCUAGAUCAGUACAUCUCAAGGAUGAAGGCUGGACAGAAGGAUAUCUUCUAUAUAACUGGAGCUAGCAAAGAGCAGUUGGAGAAAUCACCAUUCCUUGAGAGGCUAACUAAGAAAAAUUAUGAGGUAUGAGUCUUUCUUAAGAUUGCAUGGGAAAGCUGCAUAACAAAAUAGUAGUUUAUUUUAACAGAAAGUAUUAGUCAUCUUUUCUUGCAUUGUGAGUUUGACUAUGUUCCUUGUCUUUGAUAUUUAAAUUCUCUUAUAAAUGCAUUUAUCAUGUCUGCUCUAAAGAUUCAUUUGCUAAGUUUCCCUUGUUUAGGUAAUUUUCUUCACGGAUCCCGUAGAUGAAUACCUGAUGCAGUACCUUAUGGACUAUGAAGACAAUAAGUUCCAAAAUGUAUCCAAAGAGGGCCUGAAACUGGGCAAGGAUUCAAAAGCCAAAGAGCUCAAGGAGUCAUUUAAGGAGCUAACCAAAUGGUGGAAGGGUGCUCUUGCUAGUGACAAUGUAGACGAUGUCAAGAUUAGCAACCGUUUGGCCGACACCCCUUGUGUAGUUGUGACAUCGAAAUAUGGUUGGAGUGCCAAUAUGGAAAGAAUCAUGCAGUCACAAACUCUGUCGGAUGCAAGCAAGCAGGCGUAUAUGCGGGGUAAAAGGGUGCUUGAGAUCAACCCUAGGCACCCAAUUAUCAAGGAGCUUCGGGAUAGAGUAAUCAAGGACCCUGAGGUACACUUGAUUUUAUCUCUACACAUGUGAUCAAACGAUAAAUGUUAUAGAAAUGGCUAACUGUUACUAAUUUCAUUAACUUGGUUCACAGGAUGAGAGCGUGAAGCAAACGGCUCAGCUGAUGUACCAGACAGCAUUACUGGAGAGUGGUUUCCUGCUCAAUGACCCAAAGGAUUUUGCCUCCCGCAUCUACAGCUCAGUUAAGAGCAGUUUAAAUGUCAGCCCUGAUGCAACAGUCGAGGAAGAAGAGGAUAUUGAGGAACCUGAAGCUGAAACUGAUGACAAGGAAGCUGCUGCCAAAGAUGAUUCUGAUGCGAAGGACGAAUUAUAGAUUAGUCUUGACGAAUGCCCUUUCUCUGGAGAAAACUACGUAGAAGUCACAUGCUAUAUACAAAGCGCAUGUGGAUAAUUUAGGUUUCAGAUUGUUAGUCCAUAGGUUAAUGUUAAAAGUACCAGGAUUUUUGUCUGUCUUGCAUUUUCACGGAUUUGUGUAUGAGAACGUUGCUGUGUUUUCUGCAACAUAAUAUAAUUUGCGAUCCUCUUUUUUUCUUCCUUUUUACCUCAAAUCUCCAAUAUGCACCAUCUAGGUUUCAAGCCUAGUCCACGGAGGAGCUCUUUGUUGGUUUUUAGCUUUGAAUGCUACCUAAAAUCACAAUUAUUGUAGGUCUACUAAAAGUUUCAUAGCGUAUUAGUUUUUUUUUUUUUGAUAAGAGGGGAAACUCGCGGUCGCUACAAUCUUUGACACAGCUUCUGCUUUUCGGGUGAGCACUCUGUGGUGAGCAUACUUUGUGCGCACUGGGUAAACCUCCCCCUGUGUAAUAGCCUACAAACCACACAGGGGAUGUAAACUGCACUAGGCAAGCCCUGUGCGACAGGUUCAACUCAGAAGAUAUUGAGGGGGGAUUAGAUCCCAAGUCAUCUGUAUGGAUAACCACCCUCCAAACCAACUGGGCAAACCCGAAGAGUUGCGUAUUAGUUAUUUUGAACUGCAAUAAAAAAGUAUUUUUGAAUCCCUCGAAAUCAUCAGUGAGUUUUAUCUUAGAAGUGUCAUAUUAUACAAUUAUUAUGACCAAAGUUAAUAUAUUUAACGUUAAGCGCGAUGAUUGGCAAUAUGACAAUUGAAUAUUGUUAAAAGGGGAAAUGGAGCUGGGUUAGAGAGUGAGAGCUUGAGUCGGUUACAAAGAGAAAGAGAGAGAAAAUCUCAAUUUCAUUUCUUCAAUCUUAAUUACAAUGUGUAUAUAUAUGCCUAUUUAUACAACUCACUAGCUAGCUAACUUAACUAUCUUCUAACAUAGUCCUUAGCUAACUAAUUAUGUAACUAACUAAGUACUACUCUAUAUCCAUUAAGUACAACUAUCACAACUACUAAUAUUUUCUACACUCCCCCUCAAGUGGGGUGAUGAAAUACAUUGAUCAUCCCCAACUUGCAUAACAUUUCACUGUGCAGUUGUUUCCCAAAACCUUAGAUAGAAUGUCUGUAACUUGCUCUUUGCUGGCAACAUGUUCUGUCUUGACCCCUGAUGCAGUUUUUCCCGAAUGAAAUGACAGUCUAUCUCUAUGUGUUUGAUACGCUCAUGGUACAUGGGAUGCGAUGUUAUUUGAAGAGUUGCCUUGUUAUCACAAAAUAACUCCAUUGGUAGAUCAAUCUCCAUUCCCAGUUCCUCCAACAGCCCAUGCAACCAAACCAGCUCUACUACUGUGGUUGCCAUACUCCUAUACUCAGCCUCACCUGAGCUUCUUGAUACUGUGCUCUGCUUCUUGGACCUCCAGGAAAUUAGUGAUUCUCCCAGCUUUAUGCAAAACCCAGUGACAGACUUUCUAGACACCAUACAAGAUACCCAAUCAACAUCACAAAAGGCAGUGAUCUUCCUGGACUUGUUAUUGCUCAUCAGAAGUCCUAGGCCUGGCUGGCUUUUCACAUAUUUAACCACCCUUAAUGCAGCUUCAUAGUGUGACUCUUUUAGAGCAUGCACAAACUGACUCAAUGUUUGGACUGCAAAGGAUAUGUCUGGUCGUGUGAUUGCCAGGUAGAGUAGUCUUCCCAUCAACCUCUGAUAAGGUCUUCUAUCUUCCAUCUCUUUAUCAGUGUCAAGUUCAAACAAUUUGUUAUACUCCAAACUAGUGAACUUCUGAUUCUGCUCCAAAGGGGUUAUAGCUGGCUUUCCUCCCCCUAAGCCAUAUUCUGAUAUCAACUCUAGAGCAUAUUUUCUCUGGUUCAUGAGUAUGCCUUUGGAUGACUUGGCAAACUCUUCCCAAGAAAUACUUCAACUCACCCGAGUCUUUCAUUUUGAAGUUGUUAUUAAGGAUGUGCUUGGCCUCUUGUAUCAGCUUGAUGUCACUACCAGUAAUAAGCAAGUCAUCAACAUACACUAAUAUUAUGACAAUGUGUGUAUCCUACCUUUUAGUAAAUAGGGAAUAAUCUAACUUGCUUUGAGUAAAAUCUGAAUUGAUAAGAGCAGUGGUAAGCUUCAAAUUCCAUUGCCUACUUGCUUGUUUGAGGCCAUAUAGUGAUUUGAGGAGCUUGCAAACCUUAUUCUCCCCUGGCUACCAAAUCCCUGUGGCAAGGACAUGUAGACUUCCUCAAACAAGUAUCCCUGAAGGAAGGCAUUGUAGACAUCCAUCUGGUAGAGUGGCCAAUUAUGCUGAGCAGCCAAAGACACAACACAUCUGACAGUCACAAUCUUCACUACAGGAGAGAAGGUGCUAUGGUAAUCCAGACCCUCAUGUUGGGUAAGGUCUUUGGCCACUAAUCUGGCCUUAUACCUUUCAACACUACCAUUUGCCUUAUACUUCACCUUAUACACCCACUUACAUCCAAUGGGUAUUUUACCUGUAGGCAAAUCGACCACUUACCAUGUAUGAUUGUCAGUGAGGGCCUCAAUCUCAAGCUUCAUAGCCUGAAUCCAGAACUUUAGAGGUGCAUUAGCUUGAAACCUGAGUGCCAUUGCCAUCUCAAGCAAGUGCCUGUAUUUCCUCUCAGCUACCCCAUUCUGUUGAGGGGUAUGAACAUAUGAACUUUGAUGCACCACUCCAAGAGAAGUAAAAAGAGUGUUACAUUGAGAAUUGCAAAGUUCAAGUCUAUUGUCUGAUCUAAUGGUCUUGAUAGAAGCAGAAAACUGAAUUUUAAUCAAGGCAAAGAAAUUUCUGAGUAAAACAAUGACAUCACUUUUCAUUCUCAUCAAAUAAACCCAAGUCAUUCUAGAAUAGUCAUCAACAAUAGUAAGAAAAUAUCUAUAACCGUUGUAAGUAUAUUGUCUAUAUGGACCCCACACAUCCAUAUGUACAAGUUCAAAAGGAGAGACAACUUUAGAAGUACUAGUAGGAAAUGGAAACCUAGUUUGUCUUACCAAAGGACAAAUUGUACAAGACAAAGACUCUUUAUUGAACAAAUGACUUUGUAAGAAAGGAAGUUUUUGAAGAACAGCAGCUGGUGCAUGACCAAAUCUCUAGUGCCACACUGAGAAUUGAUGAGAUUGAGCAGAAGAGAAGCAAUGUUGUGAAGAUACAGGGAAGACUGAAGUACAUGGAACAUGUGCUUUGACAGGUGAUAGCUUCUUGGUAGGUUGAAGUAAGUAUAGACCAUCCUUCUCCUUACCAAUCCCCUUCACCUUGCUAGUGCAAAGAUCUUGGAAGAUGCAGAAAUCAGGAUAAAAACCCACACAACAUUGCAGUUGUUUGGUCAGUUUUGAGAUAGACAAAAGAUUAUAUUUGAAAAGAGGAACAUAGAGGACAUUUGUUAGUUCAUCAUUAAACAGUGAAACUGAACCAACAUGUGUAACAGAGGUCACAUGACCAUUUGGUAAAUGAAUUUUGUUGGCAUUAGGUGUAAUUAGUUCAAGAUUUAGCAAAAUAUUCAAGCUAGAAACCAUAUGAUUUGUUGCCCCUGUGUCAACCACCCAUGGAAUGAAUUCAGUGCCUUCAGAUAAACUAACAUUAGAGCAAUUAGAUAUAUCUGCCAUAUUAGCAACUUCUUCCUGUGAGGGUACUGUCUUGUUGAUCAGCUGUAGGAUCUGUUGAUGUUGUUCAGGAGUGAAAGUAGGCAUUGGCAUGUAAUGAGUAGAUGGAUGAGCAGGACUAUUGGAGCAUGAUGUAUCUGAGUGCCCCAAGUAAUUGGCACUGCUGACUGAAAGUCCUUUGUUAUUAGUUCCAAACUGUUAUGGCCUCUCAAAACUUUUCUUCCUGUUAGCCUUAAAAUUAGGUGGAUACCCAACCAAUUUGUAGCAAUUCUCCCUUUUAUGUCCUUUCAUAUUGCAAUAAUCACAGUAUAAUCCGUUUGGUUUCUUAAACAUGUUGUUCUGCAUAGCAGCAAGAGCUGUAGGAUCAUUCAAAUCCAGGUUUGGUAAUGGCUGAGCACACGGUGUUAUCAUAUUUGACUUCAUUCGUUGGCUUUCAUCUUGCAUGAGCAUAUUGUAGGCUUUGUUCAAUGAUGGACUUGGAACUGUCAUCAAAAUCUGGCUGCGUGACUGUGCAUAGGUCUCAUUUAAGCCCAUUAAAAAUUGCAUUAACUUCUGUUAUUCCAUAUGAUUUCAUAAGCCUUGUCACUCCCAAGCAGUGGAACUAAUGAAAGGUAUUUAUCCCAAAUGUUACGCAUCUUAGAGAAGUACUCAGAUAUAAUAGAAGUUCCCUGUGUCAUUGUGUAGAUUUCCAUAUGUAGCUGAUAAACUCGUGUAAGAUUUCUUUUAUCAAAACGCUCUUUCAAGUCCAUCCAAACCUUAUGAGCAUUAGAUGAAUACAUCAAUCCAUUUCCUAGUUCCCUUGAUACUGAAUUGGUGAUCCAUGAUAGGACAAAAGUAUUGCACCUAUCCCAUUCAUGUACUAGGUCUCCUCUAUAAUGUUCCUUACGACAGCUACCAUCAAUAAACCCUAGUUUAUUUUUUGCUAACAAUGCAACCUUCGUAGAAUUACUCCAUGCAGUGUAAUUUUCUAUACCAGUUAACUGUUGAGGGAUUAGGAUACAACCUAGAGUAUCAGAUGGAUGUAGAUACAGAGGAUUACUUGGGUGAAUGUCGGUGAAUCGUUCGAUCGAAUCUCCAGCUGUAGGUGCUGAAUCUUCAGUGUUAGUCGAAAUUUGUGCAAAGCGAUUUGCAAUUGCAGCUACAAAGAGCUUAAGAUUCCAUAAAUUGAACUAACUUUUGGGUCAGAAAAGAAAAAAACACCAAAAAAAAAUUGUGAAGAAAGAAAAAACUUUGAACAACACAACAAUGGCAGAAAUUAGGGUUUGCUGUGCUCCGAAAAUCAUUCUCUGCUCACCGAUUGUUCUCAAUUGCUCAUUCUUCAGCUCAAAAUUCCACCGAUCGGUGGCUCUGAUACCAUGUUAAAAGGGAAAAUAGAGUUGGGUUAGAGAGUGAGAGUUUGAGUCGGUUACAGAGAGAAGGAGAGAAAAAAUCUCAAUUUCAUUUCUUCAAUCUUAAUUACAAUGUGUAUAUACAUGCCUAUUUAUACAACUCACUAACUAGCUAACUUAACUAUCUUCUAACAUAGUCCUUAGCUAAUUAAUUAUGUAACUAACUAAGUACUACUCUAUAUCUAUUAAGUAAUCUGUAGCUUUUUACAGAUUUGUUUGUAGUUUUAUGUCCUUUUUACAUGCGAUUGUAUUUUACACAUAAGAGACCCGAAAAUAACAUAUAAAACAUCUUUGCAUGGUAAUUUUUAUUUUUUUAAAUUGUAAGUAGGCACAAGAGACAAUUUCCUCAACUGAUUCUUUUAAUGUUUACAAUGAUAUUUCAAAAGAAAAAACCAAGACACUAUUCUUUCUUCUUGAUUAUGUGAGCACUGCGAUAAACUCUUAAUUACACACAAUAUAAUUGUAUACGGUUAAAAUCGAGCCCACCCAAUUUUUUUAUUUGACCGGGACCAGGGAGCUGCAUCGAAGGUCGGCCCCGUAGUGGAUCAGACCAAGGUACGAGGAAAAAGUACCAAGUUCGGGAUUCGAAGUACUUGUCGAGAUCGAGGCCAGCAACGAUCGAGACCGAAUAAGAAAGGCAUCGAUCAAGAUCAAAGAUAACAUAAUAACAGAAAGACGAAAUAUCCGUGACUAGUCGAAGAUCAUGGCGAAAAUCUCGGAACAAAUCAAAUUAGGAACGGUUAAUUAGCUAAUCAUGUAAUUUUCUUCUGUAAUUAGAGUUAUACCAUAAGUAGAAUUCCUCUACUAUAUAAAGGAGAGUAUUAACCAUUUGUAAGGACACAUUGUUCUCGCAUAAAAAAGCCAAUAUAACGCGCUUAUACUUUCUUGUUCAUCAACUUGCUUUAUUUAUAACUGUUUUGGUAUCAAUCGGUUCGAGGGGACCCUAGCUCGAGGGUUGAAUCCUGUUUCAAAACUGGUUCGCUUUAAUUUAUAGUUCAUUUAUGUUAUUAAUCUUCAUAUUUAUCAAUUGGUAUUGAGUAAAGUCACGUGUCCUUAGAACCACAUUAUAUGGUCAAUUGUUAUCCAAUUUUAAGGAUAAACAGUUUGGCGCCCGCUUUGGGGCUAAGGAUAAUAGUGAUUGCUUAAUACUGAUUCCGAUAACACAAACUGCUUUACACUUGUUCUCAUAAGAAUCUUUAUUUUUAGGAUAAACAUGUCAAACUCACAAGCAGCGCCUACAAACGGUGACAACGACCUUGGAUUUCACGGAAAAAUGACAAUAUAGUCGCCCCAGGAAUCGAGGAGCCUCAGGCUGACCUCAAGGGAGUACCAAUUGCAAAUCCCGUCGAUGUCAGUUCACAUGUCGCCCUAAAUGCAAAUUUGGGCGUUGAUCCCGAAGGUAGCAUAUGCAGGGAAGUUCGAUCAGGUGGUCGAGGUACGCAGGGCAGAGAAGAUGGUGGAGUUAGCCUCCAAUUGAUAUUAGAAAUAUUAUAAGCUCAACAAGCCGUUAUGGCACAACUAAAAAAUCAGCACCGAACACCGAGUAGGAUCAAACCAGAAGUCGUCCAUAGGACCGAGCCUGUGCCGGAAAGGUCGAACACCAACGAAUCGAGGACUGACCCGCCAUAAUAAAAAUGCUCGAAGAGCUCACUAAAUAGUUUGAAUCGGGAGAAAAGAAAAUCGAGGCAAAUGACAAGAAAGUAAAGACAUACAACUCCCGGGUUGACCAAAUACCGGGGGCACUGCCGAUUCUAAAGGGCAUGGAUUCAAAUAAAUUCGUACAGAAGCCUUUCCCUCCAAGUGCGGCUCUGAAACCCAAUCCGAAAAAAUUUUGAAUGCCAGAAAUUCCCAAGUAUAAUGGGACCACCGACCCUAAUGAGCAUGUCACUUCUUAUACAUGCGCAAUAAAAGGGAAUGACUUGGAAGAUGAUGAGAUUGAAUCUGUUUUACUGAAGAAAUUUGGAGAAACCUUGUCGAAAGGAGCAAUGAUAUGGUACCACAAUUUGCCGCCUAAUUCUAUCGAUUCCUUUGCCAUGCUUGCAGACUCCUUCAUAAAGGCACAUGCCGGAGUAAUAAAGGUUACAACUAGGAAGUCGGACCUCUUCAAGGUGAAACAAAAAGACAACGAAAUGUUGAGGGAAUUCGCAUCUCGGUUCCAGAUGGAACGCAUGGAACUACCACCAGUCACAGACGAUUAAGCUGUUCAAGCCUUUACUCAGGGUUUGAACGAACGAAGUUCGGUGGCAUCACGACAACUAAAGCAGAAUUUAAUUGAAUAUCCAGUGGUAACUUGGGCCGAUGUACAUAAUCGGUACCAGUCAAAGAUCAGGGUCGAGGAUGAUCACUUGGGGACCCCUUCCGGUUCCGUUUAUCCAAACAGGCAAUUCGGCAGAACUCAAAAGGAUAUCGACAGAGAACCCCGGUCGAACAGAGAUCGGUAUUAACCAUACAACGUAGAUCGUAGAAACAGCAGCCCAGGACGCAAUCCCAUCCAAAAUAAUCAAAGAAACGAUCAUUGACAGAGCUCUCGAUGGCUCAUGAGCAAAAGUGGCUUCGAUAAACAUGCUGAUCCCACAGAAGCACCACAGUUAUCAGAUGUGUUAGCCAUUGGGAGAAUCAAAGUUACUAGAUGGCCAGACCCCUACAAACCGAUCCAUCCCAAAGAAACCCCAAUCAAAUAUGCAAAUACCAUGGUACACAUGGUCAUAGAACCGAAGAUUGCAGACAACUAAGGGAGGAGGUGGCACGUCUAUUCAACGAGGGUUACCUUCGAGAAUUCUUGAGCGACCGAGCUAAGAACCAUUUCAAAGAUAGGGAUGCGAAUAGGAAAAAUGAGCAGGAAGAACCACAACACGUGAUUCACAUGAUCGUUANNNNNNNNNNNNNNNNNNNNNNNNNNNNNNNNNNNNNNNNNNNNNNNNNNNNNNNNNNNNNNNNNNNNNNNNNNNNNNNNNNNNNNNNNNNNNNNNNNNNNNNNNNNNNNNNNNNNNNNNNNNNNNNNNNNNNNNNNNCACGGCCGGCCACGAGAUCCUUAGUUUUCUCGAUGCCUACUCCGGGUACAAUCAAAUACAAAUGAACCCGGAGGAUCAGGAAAAGACUUCGUUCAUCACUAAGUACGACACCUAUUGUUAUAAUGUAAUGCCGUUUGGACUAAAAUAUACCGGUGCCACUUAUCAACGCUUAGUAAAUCGAAUGUUCGAAGAACAAAUAGGUAAAUCAAUGGAGGUUUAUAUUGACGAUAUGCUAGUUAAGUCCCUACGACCAGAGGACCAUUUGACACAUUUGUAGGAGACCUUCGAUAUACUAAGGAAACACUACAUGAAACUCAACCCGGAGAAAUGUGCAUUCGGGGUCGGCUCAGGCAAGUUCCUCGGCUUUAUGGUAUCAAAUCGGGGGAUCGAAAUCAACCCCAAUAAGAUCAAGACAAUCGAAGACAUCACAGUAGUGGACAAUGUUAAGGCCGUACGAAGAUUAACAGGGCGCAUAGCCUCCCUAGGCCGAUUCAUCUCGAAGUCUUCAGAUAAAAGUCACAGGUUCUUCUCACUGCUCAAAAAGAAGAACAAUUUUGCAUGGACCCCGGAAUGCCAACAAGCAUUGGAAGAAUUAAAGCGGUACCUUUCGAGCCCGCCACUGCUUCAUACUCCGAAAACGGACGAGAAACUCUACUUGUGCUUAGCAGUCUCGGAAAUCGCGGUAAGUGGGGUCCUAGUUCGAGAAGAGCAAGGUACGCAAUUUUCUGUUUACUAUGUUAGUCGAACUUUAGGUGAGGCCGAGACCCGGUACCCAUACUUAGAAAAAUUAGCACUUGCUGAUGUUUGGCUAUAAUUUCAUAUUUUUAAUGCAUUACUUACCUUACAUUUUGGUGCUUUAAUGCUAAACUAUACUAUAUUCGUGCUUAAUUGAGUCUAUUUUAUGUGUAGGUACAUUGAAGACAAAAUUAGGAGCAAAGUAAAAUUUUUAUAUGUAUUAUAUACACUACAAGAAUGGAGCUAUGAUUAUUUGAUUAUUGGAUAUACAAGAAUUAAAGUUUAAUACUACAAAGGAAAUCAAAACAAUGAAAGGGAAACUGAAAAAGAACCAAACGCAAGAAAUGAGAAUGAGAAAAGAGUUGGAAAAGUUAGGCAGCCAACAUUGAAACGAAGAUAAGCAGUUGGGCGACGCGAGAAAUUUAGCUCGCGGUGGAGCUAGCGACGCACGGGCUAAGGCGAGGUGGACCAGGCAUUUUGCCUCGCGAGGCGAGGUCCGUGGCGAGCAUGUUCCGGAUUUUUAAAGCCUAUUCGUCUCCUAUUUGAUUUUGGACUUGGUUAUUUCGUUUAGGUCUCUUUCCUACACAUAUAAAUAGUCAUUAAACACCAUUCUUAGAGGAGUUUUGCGACUGGAGGCAUGAACAUCACGUGGACAACUUUUGGAGGAGAAAAUCAUCGAGUUCUUCAUCCAUUUAUCUUUUCUUUGUAAUUUGUUUAUGCAAAAUACUUGGAAAAUUGUUACUACGAACAUGAGUGGCUAAAACCCAUAGUUCUGGGUUGUGAUUUAGCCAUGAAUAUUGUUAUUUUACGUUGACUUAACCUUGAUUACAAUUCACUAAUAUAUGGUUAUUUCUUUAAUUCUGUGAUUAAUUGCUUAAUUGUCUGGCCAGCAGUUAGGUCCUAUUUAUUAUCUAUGUUAUGCUUGGGAAAGCCAUGUUUAAAUUAGUGAAGAAUUGAAGAGAGCACGAUCUUAACUCUUAGGGGGGACGGAUUUGUGGUUAAGAUAGGAAUAUACCUAGUCACCGUGCUUAAUUAAAUAUCGUAAUCUUAAUGCGUUCUUGAUAGAUUGAUUCCAUAGGAAUAUAGGCGUUGAUUUAUUUUGAAUAGGCGAGUAGUACUCCGGGAGAAGUCUAUGAGAGCAAUUGUUCGAUUAACUAGCAACCAUGAGUGAAUUGUAUGAAAGGGAGAGUUAACUAGAACAUAAUAGAAUUGGUGAAUCGAUCACAACCCUGGAAUAUUUGUCUCUACUGAAUACACCACAAUUAUUUUGCUACUUGAUAAUUUAGUUACUACUUAGAAUUAUAGUUUAGUAUAAUCACAUUCUUGAACUCGAUUUUGGCUUGACUGAAUAACAAUCUUGGUGAAUUUAGUGGGUAGUUGAUACAAGUCUCUAUGGGUUCGACACUCGACUUAUCAUUUUAUUACUUGUAUGACCAUGUAUACUUGCGUGUGCGUUUGGGAGUAACACUUGCCCUAAUAAGUGCCUCUAGGAAAUUAAAACCAUAUUUUCAGUGUCACCUGAUCUGUGUGGUGACUACUUAUCCCCCUCGCAAUAUUUUGCUUAAGCCCGAACUUUCGGGUCGAUUGGCCAAAUGGGCCGUCGAUAUUAGUGGGUACAAUAUCGAGUAUCGACCCCGAACGUCCAUCAAGUGUCAAAUCUUAGCGGACUUCGUGGCCGACUUUACGCCAGCCCUCGUACCCGAGGUCAAAAAGGAACUAUUAUUAAGCUCGGGUACAUCAUCGGGGGUGUAGACCCUCUUCACAGACGGCACUUCGAACAUGAAGGGUCCGGGCUUGGCAUCGUUUUGAAACCGCCCACGGGUAAUACAAUUAGACAAGCUAUCAAAACUUUCAAGCUAACUAAUAAUGAGGCCGAGUAUGUACCAUGAUUGCAGGUCUCGAGAUAGCUAAAGGUUUGGGAGCAGAGGUCAUCGAGGCCAAAUGUGACUCCCUACUUGUGGUAAACCAAGUUAACAGAACCUUCGAGGUUCGAGAAGAUCGAAUGCAGAGGUACUUAGACAAAUUACAGGUGACUCUACAUCGGUUUAAAGAAUGGACCCUACAGCAUGUGCCUCGAGAAUAAAACAGCGAGGCUGAUGCCCUUGCAAAUUUGGGGUCAUCAGUCGAAGACGACGAGAUUAGCUCGGGGACUGUCGUACAACUUUCAAGGUCAGUAAUCGAAGAAGGCCACGCCAAAAUCAAAUCCAUAAGUCUGACCAGGGAUUGGAGGAAUAAAUAUAUCGAGUACCUAAAUAACGGGAAGCUUCCAUCGGAUCCUAAGGAAUCGAGGACUCUACGUACGAAGGACGCACGAUUCACAUUGGCCGAAGAUGGAACACUAUAUAGAAGGAUGUUUGAUGGACCAGUGGCAAUAUGUUUGGGACCAGGAGAUACUGACUACGUCCUGCGAGAAAUCCACGAGGGCACCUGCAGAAAUCAUUCUAGUGCCGAAUCAUUGGUUCACAAGGUCAUCAGAGCAGGAUACUAUUGAGCCGAUAUNNNNNNNNNNNNNNNNNNNNNNNNNUAGGCUUUUGAGAAAAUUAGAGAGAAAGAAGUCGUAGACUUCAUCUGGGACCACAUUAUAUGCUGAUUCAGGAUACUUGCCGAGAUCGUAUGCGAUAAUGGAAAGCAAUUCGUCGGCAGCAAAGUAACAAAGUUUCUCGAAGAUCACAAAAUAAAAAGGAUCCUGUCAACGCCAUAUCAUCAUAGUGGGAACGGACAGGCCGAAUCGACAAACAAGACCAUCAUUCAAAAUCUAUAGAAAAGAUUGAACGAUGCUAAGGGAAAAUAGAGAGAAAUAUUGCCCGAAGUCCAUUGGGCGUAUCGAACAACACCAAAAUCCAGUAAGGGGGCAACACCAUUCUCUUUAGUAUAUGGCGCCAAAGCUCUGAUCCCGGUUGAAGUCAGGGAACCCAGCGUCAGGUUAUAUGCAACGGAAGAGUCAAAUCACGAGGCUAUGAAUACAAGCCUUGAAUUGCUAGAUAAAAAAUGGGAAGCCGCCCUCGUUCGAAUGGCCGCACAGAAACAACGGAUCGAAAGGUACUACAAUCGAAGAGCCAAUCUUUGACACUUUAAAAUCAGGGACUUGGUUCUGAGGAAGGUCACCCUCAAUACUCGAGACCCAAACGAAGAAAAACUUGGCCCGAACUGGGAGGAACCGUAUCAGGUCCUGGAUAUCAUCGGAAAGGGAUCCUACAAACUUAGCACGAUGAGCGACGAACAAUUACCAAACAAUUGGAACAUAUCACUACUCAAACGAUAUUACUGCUAAGGUACGACCUUCUCCACUUUCAUUUAUAUUUUAUACUAACCAUUUGCAGGUGUUUAAUCGAAGACAUCAAAGGAUUCUUCAAACACAAAGUCCUUAGGUCUGAAAGUACACGUUGCACUCUUUUUCCCUUAGACCCGUUUUUGUCCCAAAUGGGUUUUUCCGGCGAGGUUUUUAACGAGGCAAACAUUGUUCGUGCUAAACUUAGAGCAAUUCAACAGUAUUCGAGGCUCUUUUAUAAUCAACCUCGAAUACUGGGGGGCAUCACCCUCGGAUAGUUACAAGAAAAAUACUUCGUGCCGACAGGGUCUCGAUAGGUAAAUUUUGUAAGGGUCAAACGGUCGAACGAACCUUGCCCAUGUAGAUUACUCGAGCCCUAAUGGAAAAUAUUUACGCAUGUUAAUCUAUUGAAAAAAAGUAUUUUUCCUUGCCAGAUAUUUCAUUCCUUAGAGAAAUUUUUACUUUACAAUGUCGUGCUUGUGAUCUAUUGUGAAAACUGGCUUAAGGGCCGGUCUCAACUAAAGUUCAAACAAUUGACCCCGCUCUCGGGGACUACCAUCCAAAAAAUUGACAUGAUCGAAUUACUAAAAUCUCAAGAUCGUAAGACCUUAAAAAGGCAACCCUCGAUUUUAUAGGCCACGGCCACCCCACUCGGGGACUGAUACUUCGAACAAGCUAAAGGCUACGGCCAAAUUAACACGGUUCGGAGAUGUCCGAUUUUCGUUAUAAAACAGGCCUUCGAAUAUUUUCAUAAACCGGUUAAAAAGGCUACCCUCGGCUAAAUUACUAAGGGUCUCGAUAAUAUCGACCCUCGAUAAUCCUAAUGGGUACAAAAUCAUUCAAACUCUCAAACAAAUUCUUUAUUUUAUGCUAAGGCAUUACGAAACAAAGGGUCUCGAUAAUAUCUACCCUUGAAAACCCUAAAUGGGUACGGAAUCGUUCGAUCUAUCAUUUCAUGCUAAGGUACAACAGAUUUUAUAUGAUUAAACAAUAAACUUUACAAGCCGAAAGGGGGGAGAAAGCCAUUCUUUUUACUAUGGUUGUAUCGGCCUAAUUCAAUAGCCUAAAGGGCCAUUUUAUUUCUAAGUUCGAGAAAUCAUCCUCACUCAAUUAAAACCUAAGGGUCACUCUACUCCGAGUUCGAGCAAGUACUCACUUGAUUAAGACUACACUAGUCCGGCUUCGGUCUAGUUGCCUAUAGUCUCAAACUUAUGAGCAAAAUCUCCAUAAGGCAUAGAGGCAUGAAUGAAAUAGAAUUUUCACGGGGGUAGGAAAUAGAAUAAAGACAAGUCAAAAAGAAAAAAAUCUUUUAUAUAUAUAUACGAAGAUAUUUACAAGGACCGAUCAGGGUCCCGCACAAAAUAUCAAAAAAGAAAAAACCUAAGAUUCCUAAUUUUCCUCAGGGGCAUCUUCUUCUCCAUCGAGGUCCUCCCCAUUCUCGGACCCGCUCUUGCUGCCAUCAUCAUUAUCAUCAUCGGAAGAGGCCAACGCUCUAGCAUCGGCUUCAUGCUCUCUAGCCUUUAUUAUCUCAUCGGUAAGAUCAAAACCUCGAGCGUGGAUCUCCUCGAGGGUUUCCCUCCGAUAUUGGCAUUUGGCGAGUUCAGCAAUCCAAUGUGCUCGAGUUUGAGCGGUCUCGGCUGCCUCUCUCGCUUGGACUUGAGCGGCUUCAGCAUCGCCCCGGUAUACGGCCACGAUCGCCUCUACCUCGGCCUUUGCCUUUUCGGCUUAAGAGUUAGCCUUUGCAAGUUCGGAAGCCAACCGAGCCUCGAGAUCCUCUAUUUUUUUUUUGCCUGAGCUGAGCUCUUCUCCUUCAUGCCUCGGAGCUGACUUUCGACCGACGACAAUUGGGCUCGAGCAGCCUCUUUUUCAGCAGCAAAGCGGUCCAUACUUUCUUUCCACCCCAAGGUCUUCGCCUUCAUCAUGUCGACAUCCUCGCGAAAUUACUCGAUCCUCUCGACCUUCUGCUGUAGCUGUGAUAUUGAAAUAUUAGCCACUGUUCCCGAAUCGAGCUCUUGAGAUUUUAAGAUUUUCAUUACCUGCUCGAUUAGGUCGGUCUGAUCUUUGUGAGCUGUGGCCAACUCGGCUUGGAGGUCCUUGAUCUUUUUUUCUUUUUGCCCACCGAGAAGGUUGAGGGCAUUCCUCUCCUCGGUAAGCUUUUGAAUGUCGGCCUCGUACCGACUCAGCUCAGCUUGAGACCGAAAAAAUGCUUCCCAAUGAAGUGCUGAGGCCUACGCAGAAAGAGAAAAAGAAGUUAGACACGAAAAGAAAAAUGAACACAAGGGUAAUACCAACAAAGGGAGUUAAGGCUUACCCGAUUCAGAGCUUGUUGCGCUUCGUUGAAAAGGCUCGAUGUCUUGCCCGAGUCCUUCCUCGAGACCUCCAAGUCAUUCAGGCCGAUAGCAUCUUCGACCCCCGUAAAGUAAUCACGGAUGGGGUCCUCCCUUCCUUGGGCUCCUUCGAUGGAGGGGGUCUUCAAGGCCCGAGCCUCUUGAAUCAUCCCCUCAGAAAACGAGGGGAGCAGCGGGGAGCCUCCAAUUUCUAUUGCCCCAAGUAGAUCACUUGGUGCGUUCUCUCCAUCUCGAGGGGCCUCGAGACCAGUCCCUACAGCCGUACCCACCGUUGGCUUAUUAUGGUGGGAGGCAUCUUCAAUCCUCGAUAACUCGGGGACUUCGCCCAAGUCUCUUCCCGAGACCCCCUCAUCUCGAGAUGGAGUCUCUGCAGCCUUCACCGAUUCAGUGGCCUUUGGGGCCUCGGUGCUCAUUUCCACUCGGGCCACCAGCCCGGAGUCGUCUUCUUCCUCUUCUUCGUCUUUCUCCCUUAGACGCCGGACAGAGUCUUCGGUCAGAAGGAUGACGUUUUUCUUUGGCUUACGAGCCUUCUUCUUCUUAGGUUCUGGAUCCUCGGAGGUUGAGGUCUUUUUCCUCUUUUUUUCCUUAGCCGGUUUCGAUGUCAGGAUCGAAGUCUCCUCCUCACCAGAUAGGGGCCUCAUGACCGCAUCCUUGCCCAGGCCUGUACACGAGAAAAUUGAAUAAGUAGAAUAAAUGCAUCUUAAUCGAAUCAUCAAAUAUACAAAAAAAAUGGGCUUACCAUGAGUCUUGGCCUCCCAUCGGCCCUUUGAUAAAUAGCGCCAUGAGCACUCGGCGUAUGUAGAGGUCAAGGCCAGGUUCCGAACCCAACUCUUGAGGUCGGGAAUCACAUGGGGCAUUCAAGUGACCGCUACAUCAUGGAAAAAGACAUCGAUGAGAAAAGACAAAGGAACAAUAAUACAUGGAAGCUAACAGUGAGACAGUACUUACGAUUCAUGUUCCAUUUCUUCGGAAAUGGAAUCUUCUCGGCUGGGACUAGGUCAGAAGUCCUCACUCGAACGAACUAGCCCAUCUAGCCUCGAUCCUUGUCCUUGUCUAUGCUCGAUAACAACACUUUGGUCGCCCGACAUGGAGUUUUAUUAACCUGCCUCGAUAGAGGCGGGGGCUAUACAAUAUAAUAAGGUGAUAGAGGGUGAAAGGGAGCCCCUCGAUUUUGCUCACGAAGAAUCGGAGCAGAAUAACAAUUCGCCAAAAGGAAGGAUGGAUUUGGCCUAGGGUAAUUCGAUAUUGAUGGCAAAAAUUAACGAUGACAGGGUUGAGGGGGCCCAGUGUGAAAGGGUAAGUGUAAACACUUAGAAAACCUUCCACAUGGGUGGUGAUGUCUUCUUCGGGGGUCGGGAUCACCACCUCUUUGCCCUCCCAGUUGCAGUCUUUCUUUACCUGCUUAAGGUAUCCCUCAGUUAUCGAGCAUAUAUACCUUGACACUGGCUCGCAUCGAUCAGGAAUUGACGAGGCUUUAUCUAUCUUGAAAUCGGAGUUUAGUGCGCACCCCCCAAGAAUGCAUUCCUCAAGACGGGGUUCCACCGACGUUUUCCCGUUGGCCGGUUGGGAAGAUGAAGCAGGUUCUUUUUGUGGUACCAUUUUUGAUGUUUUUGCCAUUUUGUGUAAGUUUAAAGGAGAGGAAGAUAAUAGGACUUAGCGUUUGAGAAAGAAUUAACAGCAAAACCUAAAGAUUUGUAAAAGGGAAGAACUUAAGAGAUGUAAAAGUUUUGGAGAUUAGAAGGAAGUGAAAGUAAUGUUUGAAUCAAUGAGGAAGGGGUCUAUUUAUUGGAUUCACGGCGACGAUUCAAAGGCACUAGUGACCGACCACCAACUGACACUCAUUAAUGACUUGGGGAGCUGUACCGACGGGACGUUUCGGUCACUUCCGUCGCUUACGUCACGACAGUGACAUCAUGGCAGGCUGAGGUAAAAAUCAAAGACUCAAUUCGUUUCUUGUCAUUACACUCUAAAAAAUGAGGGGACUAUCUGUAUACGAUUAAAACCGAGCCCACCCAAUUUUUCUAUCUGACCGGGACGAGGGAGCUGCAUCGACGGUCAGCCCCAUAGUGGAUCAGAUCAAGGUACGAGGACAAAGUACCAAGUUCGGGAUUCAAGGUACCUGUCGAGAUCAAGGCCAGCAGCGAUCGAGACCGAAUAAGGCAGGCAUCGAGCAAGAUCGAAGAUAACAUAAUAACGGAAAGGCGAAAUAUCCGUGACUGGUCGAAGAUCAUGGCGGAAAUCUCGGAACAGAUCAAAUUAGGAACGGUUAAUUAGCUAAUCAUGGGAUUUUUUUUCUGUAAUUAGAGUUAUACCAUAAGUAAAAUUCCUCUACUAUAUAAAGGAGAGUAUUAACCAUUUGUAAGGACACAUUGUUCUCGCAUAAAAAAGCCAAUAUAACACUUUCUCUUUAGCUUAUACUUUCUUGUUCAUCAGCUUGCUUUAUUUUUAACUGUUUUGGUAUUAAUCAGUUCGAGGGGACCAUAACUCGAGGGUUGAAUCCCGUUUCAACACUGGUUCGCUUUACUUUAUAGUUCAUUUAUGUUAUUAAUCUUCAUAUUUAUUAAUUGGUAUUGAGUGAAAUUACGUGUCCUUAGAACCACAUUAUAAGUUCAAUUGUUAUCCAAUUUUAAGGGUAAACAAUAAUGUAAUUGAAACACUUCUGAUAUAGGCAAAGUUUCAGAGAUGAUAAACUAUACCACAAAGCGUGAAUUCUAGUUUAAUGUCUUUUCGAUAUCUUCAUGUCUUAUAUGAGCAAAUGUUACUGCUGCAUUGAAAUUGCGUACGUGAAUAAAUGAGUGACAACGGAAAUGCUAAAGAUGUGAAGAUGGAACCUGAAAUACUGACGGGUCAUUUAACCUAUGCAAUAAGAGUGCCGAAAUCAACAAAAAGGGCUAUAUAAGGGGGACAUUGGUGUUUAGAUCAUUAUAAAUGUUCUUUUAGAUAAAUAGUCUUUUCAAGGAAAGACCGGUAAAAUAUAACACAAGGAAUCAUAGAAUAAAAACAUAAUAUCUUUCUAAGAUUAUUUUCUUCUAUUCAAACUAUAACCGCUCAUAGAAUUCAUUUCCUUUGCAAAAGGGCAAAGAAACAAAAGGGCUGAAAAUCACCCUUUGUAAAAUGAAUUGAUAUUAUUCUACACUAUAAAUGAAUAGAUCUUAAACAACGUAUCAGAUAUGAAAAAGAUGCUUCUUUAUAUAUUGUAAGUAUACUAGUUUCUCGGCACGUGCGUUGCACGUAUAUGCCAAGUCAAGUAAUAUAUACUUUUGUUAAAUAAUAUCAAUAUUAUUAAAAUAAGUUUUUGAUAAAUAAUAAUACAUAAAAGAAUAAAAUAUAAGUUUUUGCGCGCGUAUAACUUAUAUGAAUCAUCGUAAAGUGACUUGUUUUGUCGAAGUAAAGAGAGGCGAAAGCCAAAUUAAAUUUUUUUGUUAAUUCAAAGCGAGGUGGGGCGGGUCAUAAAUGAGGGUGGUUUUUAUUUUAUUUUAUUAAAUAGGUGUUGACCAAGAUGAUAGCAAUGAAAUUUGAAUCCAAAAUCACUUGUCAUGUUGAAUUGUAAUAAUAUCUCAUGUACAAACUUAAACAAUUAGAAAGUACACUUUUAAUUUUUGUAAUUACUCCAUAUAUUAUUUUAUCAACACUAUAAACUCACCUCUAUAUAUGGAGCAUGGAGGUCUCCCAUUAUUUAUGGAGAGGCGCACAUGCAAACAAUAGUAGUAAUGUUUGUUAUGGAAAUAGCAAGGAGUUCAAAUUGGUUUUAGAUUUGCAACUUAAGAUGUAGCAGUUCUUCAAACCAACAAAUGAUGUGAAGUAUUACAUCUCUUGGCGGACUAAGAUUUUUCAUAAGGAGAUUCAAAAAUUACAUGGUACAACUAUAGUUAAGGCGAUACCAUGGAUUAUUUUAGGCUUUUUUGUCUCUUUUUUAAGUAGUUGGACAAAAAAACAUUAAUGCAUGAUAUCAUUAAAAUAAUACGAACAAUAAAUUUCAAGUUUCAACACUUAAAUCGAAAAGUACAUUAAAAAUUAAAAUUUUUAAUUGUAUAAAUUAUAACCGCACAAAUAAUGUAACAAAUUUAAACGUUAACAAAGAAUUGUACAUUUUGAUAAAUUUUACUUUGAAAUUUUUGCUCUAAUUUGUUAACUUCAAAUAUUUUAAACUUUAACAUACUUAAAAAAUACCGAAUAAUCUCUUUUGCAGGACAAACAAAAGCAAAUUUGUAACAUAAAUAUUAAGCUAACUUUAAGCAAAAAGAAAAGAGAGCUAGGAAGUAAAUAAAACUAACAAAGUGUAAUAGGAAAAAAAAAGUUAUACAAUAGUCUUAUAAUUAUAAUAUAACAUAUAUAAGAAAUUUAAAUAUAAACUAAGUUAAACUAUCCUAAAAUAAUAAAUGUAAGUCAACAAUAUUUUGCCAAAAAAUCACAAAUUUCUUUGAAAGUAUAUAAGUUAUUAAUGAUUUAUCUAGUAAACCACAUACGUGCAAUGGGCUUAUUGUUUUUAUUUGCUCAACAACAAAAAAUCAAUAGGACGCUUCUACAUUUAAUAGUAAACAUUAAAAAACUCAUAAACUAUUACAUAAGUCCAGAAAAGAAACAUGAUGAACUAACUACUCAUGAAGUAUAUGGGAGAAGUGUCAAGCCAGGUUUAUAUGGAAUCGAUAGGGAAAUCUUUGAGAAAGCAUAAGGCAGUAUAUCUCGGGAUAAUUUUGUAAAAAAUGGAGAAAACUUGAGCAGACAUAGGCUCUCGCAAUAACUUCACAGGAUGUUUGAAUCCACUCGAUCAUUAUUCCACGAUUUUCGCAUUUAUCAAGCAGAUUCAUUAGCAAUAUUUGUCUUUUCAAAUAUUACUUAUAGCGAAGCGGAUAUAAUUGAACCCGCUCCCUUCAACGCUGGCCCUCUCCUCCUUCAACGGAGUAAAUCAUGCAAGAGAAAUGUGUGUAAGAAUGGUUGAAUAUAAUGUUUACCCACACUUUGAUUUCUUCUAGAAUAGAAACUCGACGCAUAGAAAAGAUGGAAAAACUCGUCAAGUAAUUUAAGAAGAACGGUGAAUUAGCAAAGGUGACAGAAAUAUGUAUUUGGUUAAAAGCCUAAUAAUUCUGUUAUUUCAUUUUACACUUUAACAGCAAGAGACACGACAAAAUUUCUUUUUUCCUUCAAGGCAACGGUUGAGUAAGGUUUUUCCAAGCCACCGGUUAAAACUAAUUGGAAAAAACCUUUAGUUGUUAAUGAGAACAAACACAACUUUUUAGAAAAGUCAUUUAAAUCAAAUCAUUUUUUUCUUUUAUUUAAAUAUUAUUUUUAAUAUACAGUAUUAGGGUAUUUAGCAAAAAAUAUAAGAGGGGUAUUUAUAUAAUUUGACUUUUAAGUUUUAGGCUCGGAGUAUAGAAUAUCUCUUCUCGUACUGUAUAUAAGUUUAAUUAAUCAUAAUGUGUCCCACAUCGAUAAACAGACAAAACUGUAGGUGAUGUGGUUAGCAUAAAGGAGUGAGGUUAGAGGCUUUGAAAAUUAUGAUCCUUCAGGCAAGUUUUAAUGGGAUAUGAUGAGUGGUCAAAACUCGCAUUUAAAUAUGCGAGAUGGGUGUCCAGCCCAGCCUGGUUACGACAAACCAUAGGCACUCUCUUUUACCUAUCUGAUCCCUAUUCUUCAACAAAAUAUUGCCCCCUCCCUCCCUCCUCCACCCCAAAAAACUUAUUUAUGUGUUAGUUGGUAUUAUAUUGUUAAUUUUGUUUUCAAAAUGUACAUUUGUUACCUUUUCUUUUUCUUUCCAGUUUAACUAUAGGGUACACUUUAAAUUUGACAUCUUAAUCAAUACUUAUCUAGGGGUGUUAAAUUAUGUAUCUUAUACAUAAUUAAAAUUAUAUUUUUUAGAAUUUGUAUGUUAUUUUAUUAUACCUAACUAAAAUUAGACUUUUUGAAACUGUCUCUUUCAUGUUAGUUUUUUUUUGGAUAGGACUUAGCAAAAUUCUCUAAAUAUUUUUACUAUUUAAAGAGUGUUGGAAUAAGAAAACAUGAAAUAUGAGAGUAUCUAUCAACUAUUCUAUAGCAUAAAAUAAACUAAACAAAGACAAGAAAAUAUAAAUCACACGAGUGGAAAGAUAUUAACUAAGUUGGGCCUCAAGAAUAAAGUAGAAGAUUAAAUAUUUAAAAAGAUAAAUCUAAAUCAUACGAAAGAAAGCAUAUUCGAUACAUUGGAAAUAAUAUGGUUUCAAUAGGAGUAAUAUAAUAGGUUUGGAAAUUAGAAUACGUGUUGACUAGUAUCCGUUUUUAUAAUUUCAAGGCCCAAGAAAAAUCUUAAUGUAUUUUUUUUUAAACUUAAUAUAUAAAUAUAUUUUUUGCAUGUAAAUUUAUUCGAUAUGGUUCAGUAUUUUUUUAGUUUAUUUUUAUAAACUUAAAAACCUACCUUAAUUAUCGAUAUGAUUAUAGAUUUAAAUAAAAACCUAUAAUUUUAUUAAAAGAAACUAAAAAUCAAUCUGGUACGGUACGGUUAGUCAAUUUUUAAAUAUCAAUUGACACACCUAAUACUAUCUCCUCUGCUUCAGUUUUACUUGUUUACUAUAUUAUAUUUUUACUUUUACUUGUCAAUUUUAAUAUUAUAUUUUUUUUUUUAUAUUCACUAGUAUAUAAAGGACAAAAAUAUUACUACUAUCUAAGUUUUUUCCUCCAAAAGUGGACAAUUAAAAUUGAACGGAGAGAGUAUUUCAUUUCAUUAAUUUAUAUAAUAGCAUGGAAAGCAGUAUCGGCUUAACACUAGGAAAAAACCCUGUUUUUUUCAUUAAACGAACUACAUGUAGAGAGAGCUUCAGCUUAGCACAGAAAACAGAAGAAAUUUACUACUACAAAACCCAGUUACACCACUAGCUCUCAUCCUUAAACAGCCAUCUUUACUAGCCAUGAGUGGUUGAACAAGGAAAUAUAAUCUUAGAAAUCAUAAAGAUUUAUAUUAAAUUAUUGCCAUUUGCCACCCUUAUACGAGACUGUACAAGAGAUUGAGUUAAGUAACCAAGAAUCAACAAAAUAAUGAACCCUUUAACUUGAGAUCUUGUUUAGCAGCUCAAAAUGUUGGUUCUAAUCCAUCUAAUACAUCCAAAACAUUAGCCUUUGCAUGUUUUAACCCUGUCUGUGGAGAAGUACCAGCGCUUCUACUUCGAGCCAAGACCUGUUUCGUUCGCUUCUUGGGCAUCACUAGUUCCUGGCUUUUGCUUAUUCCAGGAACCAACAUUCCCCUCUUCAUUACCUCCUCCAAUAAGUUCCUAUCUUCCAAAGAGAGCUGCACGUUAGAUGUUUUCGUGUCAUUGUUCAUCAUCUCAGUAUGCAAAACCAGUCCUUUGCGCGGUGAUCUUUCAGGUAAAGCCUUAGGUUCAUCAUCUCUUCUCAGGCUGGUGAUGCGAUGAAGCAACGUGACUAGUUCAAUGAUAUGCUGGUCCAUCUUUCGUUUGUCUGCAUGAUAGAGAGUCUGCAACCGAAUUAUGUUCUUGUGUGUAGGAGUCUUCUUGCCAGAAUUGUUUCUGCUGGGAAGAAACAACCACUAUUAUGUUACUGAAGAAUGGUGUCAAAAUGAACAGAAAAAAUUUGUUUGGGAGUGGGGAUAAGGGGUUUUAUAACACAAAUAAAUGCAACUGACCCAGUAUUAGCCCACUCUCCAACCCAGCCGAAACCUUGAUGUGCUCUGUUAUCCGGUUGACAGCAAAGAUGCAAAAGAAUCAGUAUCAAAACAUGAGAAAACUAGGAGAAAACAAAAGGCACAGUUUACACUUGGUUUCAACAGAUAAAACACGAACACCAAACACGUACCGUAUAGUAUAUGUAGCUACUGGGACAAGCCACUGGAGAGUUUUUCCUAUUUCUGCUUUGAGUUGAGGAAUUGUGAGCUGCAACAAGGACAAUGAGAAGGACCUAUUUUACAUACAUAUACCACUUUAUGCAGAAUUAAAAAAAAUUACGAUAUCCGCCUCUGAUGAGAGCAAAAGGGAGGAGGCAGGAAAAAUGAAAUAUAAGAUAUAAUGGAUGAAAAUAGAAACAUAAGAAGAAAAAUCUGGAUACAAACCUCUUCCUUGGUGACUGCCUGCAAUCGAGAACGAAGGGCUGUCUUUACGGUGGGGGGCAAUCCAUUAUAUAACGAAUCCCUCAUGUUAUGAGGAACGGAAGUGGGGCGUAAUGCCUGAUAUAAUAUCAAAUCCCAUUGUAACAAAUACUAUUUGCAUUAUAGUCCUAGGAGACUAAUUGAGCAGAAAAUACUUACAAUGUUAUCUAUUUGAGUAAUUAGGUUAGCAUAGUGUAGAGCAAGACCGGCUUCUCCCAAUCUUUCUGGUUUCCUAGUAGGCUCCUUGCCAAAAGAUGCCAACCCUACAAAAAGCAUAGACAUUUUAUUUCAUAAAAACAUCUAUACUGCAGGAAAGUAGAGAAUAAAUGUGCAUAUGUGCUAGUUAUAUAAACGAUAUAAGAGUAAGAAACAAACAAAAUGUCAACGCACUAAACAAUUGAAAACAUGACACAUUGAACAUUUAAGAGAAGGAAAAGCUUCAAAAAUACACUACUACUGGGUAUCUUAUGCUCUUGCAAGCAGUAACCUGAAAACACCAUUUCGAUCAGUUCUCAAGGUUGAAGAUAAUCAUUUGCAUACCUUUUCUUGUUCCUCUUCUUUUUGCCUGUUCUUUUUUUGUUUAAUUCAACUCACUUCUGCCUAUGGCCUAUAAGAAUUGAUGUAUUUGAGGUUUCAGGUAGGACAAAUAUAUAUAUCAUUAUUUAGGGAAAUGCGUAAACGAUCUGACAAAUUCUUGCUUUGGUUGUAACUUUUAGCAAGAUAUGAUGUUUAUAGCUAGAAAUGAUGUAAAAAAGAUAUUUUUUCUUAGAUAACUGAACAGACGUAAAAAAUCUUAACGCGGCAGAGUUAUAAAUCCAGCUAAAUUAUUAUUAGCAGGAUUUUAACCUAAAUAUAGUUUCAUUAGUAAGAGACGAAUUUAGGACCUCUGGUACAGGACAAAGUAAGAUAUCCUUAGCUUGGGAAACUUCAGUAAUACCAAUGCAAUCAGACUUAAAUCUGGAGUUGUUUGUGACAGAGAUUAUUCUGAAGUACUCAUUGAAUUUAGAGAACAAUUCAAGCAGUAGGAUUCUCUGGCUUCAGGUUGAAAAGAAAGCAUGGCUCUUCUUACUGGAUAUAAAGAAACAAUUCAAGCAAAAAGGAGUCUUUGACUUCACGUUGAAAAGAGAGGCAUGCACUCCAAUCUACAUAUACUAAGUUCGUGUUAGUUGGUUCCAAAUCCUUUCAUGCUCACAAAAUGAAACUAAUCUUACUGUGAUCAUAUUUUUCUUUGGGUUUAUAUUUUUUCUCAAGUCAAUAUAUGGCUUUGGAUGUUUAAUUCUAUAUGGCUAGUCCAAACUUUAGGGGUUUAGAGUCUCAAUUCCCAGAUUAGCAAACACCAGUGACGGGUUUGACAGCAAUAGAUAUAUUAAGUACUCUAUGACCACAUCAUGGGUGGCAAAAGCAUGCAAAUAUUAAUAAAAGCCACAACUGUGCAAUGUUUACAAAAUUACUGGACAUUCUCAUACCGUCAUCCCCAAAUGCUUCUGAGAUCUCUUGAUGAAUAAAAGUAACAACGUCAACAAGCUUCUCCACAACCUACAAGGAUGAAACAUGCGGCCCUUAUAAAAAAAGGAUGAAAUAUGGGUAAAAGUGAGUACUGUUAAGUCCAUAACAGCAUUUGAAAAGCUGAAGACACAUUUCCAUUUCAACUACUAAAGACAUGACAAAAAGCUUGGUACCCGGAGGAGCUUAAACAAUUUCUCAAGUAAAUUUGAAACAGUUUCCCACUGACAAUGAUCCUUAUGAUUUUCAUUAAACGAAGUCAAUGAAGUCUAAUCUCAACUGAAGCAUACAUUGAAAAGGAAGCCAAAAUGAUAUUCGGUCAAAGUACCUCCUCCAGACUCUUGAACCAAAGAGACUUCUUUUUCAUUAUCCUCACAGUUUUUCUUUGAUGUUUUAGCUCACUUUGUAACAUCAUGAGACCUUCUCCUACAAGUGAAGGAAAGCAAGUAAUCUGUCAAUUUUAAGAUAAUUCACCACAUGGUAUCAAUUUAACAAACACAAACAAAAAAGCUAGGAGGUUAUUAGAAGAAGCGAAACUUAGGAAUAUCCUUCUUGUCUUCCAAUUGACUUAAUGUAAAAAACAAAUGAGAAUAUUAAUGUCAACUUGGAGGAAUCCUCGGGAAUAAACAUUGACACCUUACAUCCAACUUAGUAAAACAGAAUAUCAUUGAAACAAGUUAAAUGACUUCCCAAAACUAGAGACGUAUAAUUUGGAUACACGAAUAACGAUCCCAUGCUUUUUUGCUUGCAUCAUAUGGAACGUGAAAGUUCUUUGCAAUUAUACUGGAUUGUCUUAUUAAGUCAAAAAUCAAAAAUCUUCUAAAGAGGAGAAUGUUACUGGAUCAUGAAAUGACAUGUCUCCAUAAUAAAAUCAUUUAAUAUUUUGCGUGCAAUUUAUUCUUAAUUGAUUCAUUAUUUAAAGUGUCAUUUUACCUGACUAUUUCUACUUUGACACAAAAGAGAAGUAUUAGAUACAUAAAUUUGGAUCAAGGUGAUGAAAUCGAGUUGUAUGCGCUCUCUGAAUGAUAUAUUGCUACUUGAUAUUGUAAAUUUGACUUGUAAAAUUUAAUCUUCGAUAGAAACUACGAGUUAAGUUUAACGACAACACAAAAGUCGAUCAUUUCUUCCACUAAAUUUGCAUUCAACGCUUCUCCCAGGAGCAUUGUUAAGAAGUAAGACAAUACCACAGAAAAUAGAAGUAAAAUUGUGUAUACCUUUGGGAGGCACUUUUAAAAAUUUGAUUUCCUCAAGAUUCCUUCGAUGAUCCUGUUCAAAUCUAUCCAGCGCAUGCAGCUCAUGAUACAAUUCCUGCAAAGAAAUGAGAAGUCACAUGAUCAACACUGCAUAUAGAAUAGAUACUAUACGUUAACCAAAUCCUUGUAGAGAAAACAUCACUUCAAUUGCCCCAAAAUCAUGUUACAAAAAAUGCCAACUGACCACAUGAUGGUCUAUCAUCAUUUCAUCAGGGACUAACAUAUAUAAGUAAAUAAACAAAUAAGUUACAUCAGCAAAUAUGUAUUAGGUUAAUCCACUAAGGCAUUGAGCUGCUUAUCUAGCACUGCUGUCAAUAAAGCUGAAAAUGAGCGCUGUCUAUUAGAAUAUUGCGGCUCAUGUUAUUUUAAGGCCUAUGGGAGGAAAAUGUUGAUAGAAAGAACAAAGAAAGAAAAAACUCCUUGUAUUUUAAGAACAAAAACAUAUAGAAAGGUAAAGACAUCUCAAAACAAAAGAAACAUACAGAAGUAUGCUGAGCCAGAGUUAUCAGUUCCUGCAUUGCCAUUUCAGCCUGUGCUUUUGGCUGUUUAUGAGUAACAGUGUCCAUGUCUAACCUGUCAAAUGGUUAAACCUUCUCAUAAACAUAUUUACUGAUAUAUAAUUGCAACAGUUUCUGACUCCUUUAGUAAAAACAUCUCAACUUACUUGGAAAAAUAUCGACCAAGAUUGUGCCAUUGUGGGUCUUUGCACAUAUCUCCAAAUCUGAUGACUUCACGAGAGAAAACAGCAAAAUCCUCCCUGCGGAAAUGCACAUACAUAUUUUCACCAAUGCUUUCAGUGCUCGGAGAAUUACACCCAGAACUUUUCCACUAUAUUUUAAUUCUAAAAGUUACAUACUUCUAUUGAUGUAUUUUCCGGUACCUUGAACUUUGAGCUGUCAUAAUUUUAGGUUGAAAUAGUAUAAGGAAUAUUUUCUUCAUUAAGAUGCUGUUAUCAAUUCAAAAACCUUAGUAGAGAGUAUUUAAUAAAUUUUCUUUUGAUUCAAAAAUACUAGAGACACGCAUGUGUAUAUGAUUCAUCUCUUUCAGGUCUUUAUUAUUUUUAUAUAAUUCAUUUCUUUCAUUUUAGUUUUGUUACUGUUUCCUGAAGAGUGGAUAGUUAAUCACUAACCUUUUGUCAUCAGCAGCUAUAGUAAGCAGCUCUUUCAUAUUAGUAGAAACCAACUGUUGCACACCUUUUGAAGGAAGAACUUCCUUCUUUAAAUACCGGACACUUUCUUCAGAAAGAGAUUGCAAUAAAUUUGCACCUUUGGUGAUAGUAUUCGCAAUUUCAAAUGCAAGAAUAGAUAUUUUGUUUUCUCGAGAAGCCGUGCCAGUCAAGAAGCCUCCAGAGUUCAAAUUUAUCAUGCUGCUGCCAAGUGUAUCUAAAACUUCUACCGCCUUUUCUAGGCCAACUGUACUGGCUUUUCCAAGAAAAGAGCUCGGGGCCUAUUAAAAGAAUAAUUUUGUCUUGUUAUCUUACUUUAUUGCGUGCAAAAUAUACAAAGAGAGUUUCACAUGAAUAAGAAAGACAAAGCAUUACCAGGAAAAUGACAGUUGUUCAAACAUUGGACUUGCUUCCAAUGAUAUCAGUAAAAGAACAGAAAACAGGUGCCAAACGACCCACCCACAUGGAUAUUUCCAAAGUCUUUGUUAUAUAGAACAAGACUCCCCGGGUACGAACAAACAGCCAUAGAAUUCAGACUUUUAGUUCUAGUGUCUGUUCGUCAGUCAUACCGCUAAUGAAAAUAACACAAUGGUCAACUUCUAUUAUUAAGUAAGUACAUUAGUAAUCUUAAUUAGUAAUCACACCUCUUUAGGGUGCGGCCCUUCCCAAGACUCUGUGUGCACGGGGGUUGCCCUUUUUAUUAGUAUUGUUAAUUGCCUCACUUCAAAUUUCAUUUGUCAAAAGAACUUAUCAGAUGCUUAACCAUUGAUCUUGUUAUCCUGUGUUUAUGCCAGACAACUUUAGCCUAAUGCUUUCCAAUCAAUCUCGUUCCACUAAACAAUCCAAAAUCAAGCUUUCGUAGAUAUGCAUUGAUAUACUCACCCUUUACAUAUUAUGAGCAGUUGAAAAUUUUUGAGGAUUAGCAUAAUAAAUACAGGUUCCCUCUGUAACAGUUUAAACUUUUAAUGAGGUGGUCAUGAUUAAACAGAUACAAACAGACAGAUGGGCUAUGUCUGAAUCCUGCCAUCUCCUGUCAUUAAAAAUAGUUUCAUGUGCUUGGCCAAUUAAAAUUAUCAAACAAGUGAGAGGACAUGUUGAGGAAUAAUAUUAAAAAUAAGAAUGUCAUUCACUGACAAUUUAAGCGUCUAACAAGGCCACACAAUUUCAACAACCGUGCAUAUGUAUAUUUCUUCUUUUAUCCUUUUAUGCCAUGAUAUCUUUCUCUUUGAUGAUGUUCCUCUAGCAUUACAAUCUAUAUUUCUUCCUUUUUCCUUUAAUGCCAAUAUAUCCUAUGAAGCUAUCUUAAAUUUUUGCAACUACUGACAAAUCUGCUGUGUUCUGCCAAAAGAAUCGCAACAAUGAAUGUUGUGAAUAUGACAGAAUGUUUACAAAGGUGAGCAAACGCAGUCAGUUUUACCACAAGAAGUUGGAUUAUAUCAUCCAUAUAUGAAGUGCUUUUCUCUUUGAAUAUGUUGAGAGAACUGUCCAACUUCCAUUGUUCAUCUGUUUCUUCUUACAGAGUAUAGAUCAUAAUCACUUCGACAAAAUCUAACUGCUUUCAGUUACCAAGAGCAGUUUCAGUUGCCACCGUGGCGCAGAACAUCUAAAGGCAUCAGACCUGUUAUUACCUCAAACUUCCAGAAACCUUAAAGGCUGUUAUCCCUCUAGAAUUCUGGGUGUGGAGGGAUACCUAAGCUUAGUUAGUUAGACAUGCUUAGGUUUCAUUUAUCAGCAGAAUUAACCGGACAAAUAGCUCCACCAACUAAGAAGGCUAAACCACUAUCCAUAACAAAAACCUCAGCCGCAUUAUUCACCUACUCGUGUAGUUCAAUUCCUCUUUAUCCAACCAUUUGUUUCACUUCAGACUAAUCUUGCCAGCUUUCUAACACCCCGUAAAGGGCAACAUCACAAAAGGCAGAAUCUUCGACUCAAAAUUAAAUAAAUAAAAACCGUGACAACUAAUUGCUUCCUUCAAUCUAGUUUCGUGAUAUCAAUCAAGUCAAGAAAGGGAAAAAGGGAAUUUACGAUCAAGCGUGCAAGAUUAGGCCGCGAUAAUUAAAAAAAAAGGGAAUGAAACAAUCAGAUAACCAUUGCUUAUACCAACUCCUAGAAAGCAUCCAAAUACAUAUACAUUGAUUAAGUUAACAGAAAAAAUGGUGGUACCUUGUUAGCUCCUGUCCUAGUAGGUGGAGAUGGCCUUAACUCCCGGGAAAUAGACAAACACAACUCACCAGAAUCAUAGAGAUUCGGCGUCUUACGAAAACCAUCCUUAUCAGGACAUGAAGUAGAAGAAGAAGAAGAAGAAGACUCAUUCUUUGGCUCUUCAAAACUCUUGAUUGACUUGAGCUUUUCAGAAGAACCUGAGCUCCUCUCAUGGUGAAUUUCUGCUCUAUUUCUCGCUGUUCCACCUGUACAAACACCUCCCAUUUUUGCUCCUUAGAGCUAAGAUGGGAGAAAAAAAUCAAACUCCUUAAACCUGACCUCCUACACCUAUCAGCAAGAAAGGGAAAAAAACAUCAUCAGCACACACACAAGUGGCAAAGCCAGAAAUUGAAGUAAAAACAUUUCCCAUAAUAUAUGCUAUAUACAUCUAAAAUUAAUAUUUUACUUAUUUCCCGCAAUAUAUGUAAUUUUUCGUAAUAUUUCAACGAAGGAUGGUCAAUUCUCAAUUGACCAUCCUUAGCAAAUGGUGGCUUCGCCCCUGACCACACACACAAAAAAAAAGAUAAAAAAACAUCAAAGUUACUCAAUUUGAUGAAUUUAAAAAUAAGUCAAAAAAGGGCAUAAAUCAAUCUAACUGUCUUAAAUUUCAAACAAGUUAGACGUCGAUUACACGAAUCGUGUUAUUCAUUCUACUCAAUUUGGGUCCAUUUUAUUCCAAGAAACAUAAAAGAGUAAACAUCAUUGCCCCAAUCAAAAGCUCAUAAAGAACUAAAAAGUACUCCAAUCAUAUUUUCUUGGAUUAAAACUACCACCAAGACUAAAUUGUACUCCAUUUUCAACUUAUUCAACAUAAAAGAUCAAAAGAGAAACUCUUUUUCUUAUUCAAGCAUUAAAAGGAUGAAAAUAAAGGAAGCUUACCGAGAAUAAGUUCAAAGAAAUGUAAGAGAAGUAGAACAAAAACAUCUGAAGCAGCUGAAUUGAGGUAAAAAAGAAGUGUAGAAUCAUGAAGUAUUUAAGCACUAGAGUGGAGUUAUUUGGGUUUAAGAAAUAAAUGAAAAGGAAUGAAUGGAUGAGUAAAGAAUUAAUGGAGCGUAAUCCCAACAAGAUGUAGUCAAGAUUUCGAGGAUUGUUGGGAUAUGACAGAAAUGAAUUGAGAUUGCCAAUAUUUUUAGAGAAGAUAAAGUUAAACAGUAAAAACAUUUGACUUAAAGACUUUGCGUGCAGAUUUACUUGACGCAUGUACUUGUGAACGGUAACAGAAUUGCUCUAUUAAUUACUUAUUAUGUUCAAAUAAAUACAAGUUAAUCUGGAAAUCACAGUUAAAAUCCAGUUAAAUGAUUUGACCAAACCAAUUAAGUCGGAUUUUCAAAUCUUAAAAUCAAACCAAUCUCAAUUAUUAAGUCGGUUUUUUAUUGGUUCGAUUUAUAUUUAUUUUUUCGGUUUUUGUUUGAUUUUUUAAAUAUGAAACAUACACUACUAAAUAUAUAUUUUAGCAACUAUAUUCCAACAUAACACUAUCAAACUAAUUACUCUUUGAGAAAAUCUGUCAUUUACCGAGAUAUAUUAUUGAUAAUUGAAUUAAAUAGCUUUUGAAAUAAAAUCAUUUGAUGCUUAUUUUUGAAAAUAACGCUCAACAACAACAACAACAACAACAACAACAACAACAACAACAACAACAACAACAACAACAACAACAACAACAACAAUAAUAAUAAUAAUAAUAAUAAUAAUAAAAAGUUUGAAUCGAAUGAAUAAUGUUUAGUGUGAAAUUGAACUUGCUUUAUGAUUACUUUAAAAUAAAUUUACAUAGUUAAGAUUUACACGAGUAGUCUACAUCACAAUUUCUAAGAUUUGGAAUAACUAGGAUAUAUUCGAAAUUUUUUAGUAAAAAAUAUAUUUUGUUGUUAUUAUUACUCUUUCUUGCCCUUUUCAUCUGUCACUUUGACCAACAUUUUUCAUCCAUGAUAUAUGUCAUUUUAGAAGACUAAGAACGCAUUAAUUAUUAUUUGUCAGUUUCACCUUACUAUUCAAAAAAUAUAUAGUCAUUAUUGAUUUAAAGAAGAUGAUAAAGAUAAUUUAGUCGAAUACCCUUUAUGGUUAAUACUAUUAAGUUAAUUAUUUUGCCAAAAUCUUAAAAAAGAAAAAAAAACUAGAAAGAUAACUUAUUAUUAUUCCAUCCGUUUCCGUUUUGUUGUCAACUUUUCCAAAAAUAAUUACUUAAAACACUUAUCAUUUUAAAAAAUCAAGAAAGAGUUUAAAAAAAAUUCAAUUUCACCCUUAGCAUUAACUAUCCAUUUUUCAAAAGAUGUUGGUCAAAUUCAAAAUUUACUAUGCAAGAACUACUUUGAUCUAUGCAACAUUAUUCUUUCAUCUCUUAAGUGAGUUUAAUAAUCUAGAUAUUAGUUACACAGUAAGAGAUGAAAAGUUAAAUAGAGUUAGCUUAUUUAUUGAAAAUAGAUUAAUGUGGUCAAAGAUUAAAGAAUUAAUAAGGAAAGAUUAGUCAAAUAAUUUUUCUUAUUAGUAAUAUUUUCUUGAAGAUGUGUAAAACUCUGACAACUAAAUGGAAACAGAGAGAAUAAUUAAUAGUGCUACGUACUACUAACACUUAUUGUUAUUAUAUACUAAUAAUUAAAAAAAUGUUAUUUGUGUAUUUUAUUGAAUCGAAUUAAAUAAUAUUUAGCAGGUUUUGACCAUAAUAUGCUACUAAUUACUAACGUUCACCACCUUAACUACAAAGUCAUCCAUUAGCCAUCCCCAACUGUCUAUCUCCUAAUUUGACACAUUUUCAACUUUUCAAAAGAAUUACCAGAAGUACAGAUUAUAACUGAUUAAAUAAUUUUUUUUAUUGUUUGACCAAAAAAAAAACUUUUCAAAAUCUUGCUCUUAACCUUUCGUGUCUGCUCUCUCUUUGUUUUUGAUUAUCGUGUUUGGGGUUGAUGAUCAAGUUUUCGCGUCAUUAUUUUCUCCUUUCUUGUUGUAAUUCGUUCUUUACACAAAUCUUGAAAUAAUGAUUUUACGACACAAAUGACAAUUAUUUUAAAAAGUCACAACCAUUUAGUUCAGACACAAGUUAUGUAGAGAUUGUAACACGAAUUGAAAAUAUAUAGAUUAUAAUGUAUGAAUACUUCUUUUUGGAUGUUUAGUUUAUAAUAGUAUACACUAUAUAAUUUAAAAUAUAUAUUCAAAUUUAGAAAAAAACAAAUUUUAUUUAAUAUUAUGAAUAUUAGUUUGGUCACUUUAAUAAUAUUCUUAUCCAUGUAUUAUUAAUACUUAUAUUUUUAAUUUAUAAUUUUCACCAUAUAAAAUAAUAUAUAAACACUAGUAGAAAUUCAGCAAAAACUGACCACGGUCGACCGGUCAAUUUUGGUCGGUUUUCUUUGGCGCAAAAAUGCGGGAAAUAAUUUUUGAGUCCGGCGAAAUUUAUUUUUCAAGAAACCGACCAACUUUGGUCGGUUUUUCAUUUUAAAUAAAUUAAAAUUAAUAUUAAAAAACCGACCGAAAUCGGUCGGUUAAUUCGGCCAGUAAUUUUAAAAAAUCGAUCGAAUUCGGUCGGUAAUUUUAUUUUUUAAUAAAACUGACCAACUUUGGUCGGUUAUUUUCGUGCGAAAAUACAAUUAAAGAGUAUAAAUGAAAUAAAAAAAUAGUUUUAAAACAAAAUGCACCAAUGGUCUACUGGUAGAAUAGUAUCCUGCCACAGUACAGACCCCGGUUCGAUUCCUAGAUGGUGAAUUUUUUAAUUACAUAAUUAAAAUACCGAUCAACUUUGGUCGGUUUUUUCGGUAAUUUUUUUUUUUUGAAUUUAAUUGACCGACCAAAGUUGGUCGGUAAUUUCCGACCAACUUUGGUCGAUAUGCCCUUCCGACCUUCAAAAUACCGUCCACACAUAAAUGAUCGCGUUUUGGACGAUUAUUGGCCAUUACCGACCCACUUUGAUCGGUUAUUUUGGAUGAUUUUGCCCAGAUUUUUAGUAAUGAAAUUCCAACAUAACUUAUAAUAUAUUAUUGCUUUAGUAAUCAAAUUCUAGUUCUAUGCAAAUAUUAAAUUUCCUACCUAGACCAACAAACGACCCCCCAGGCUCAAAAGUUCAAAGUUACCCAUCAACUCUUGAGUAUGGUUUAAAAUUACCCUUAAAUUUGAGCUCUAUUAGAGAUCAAUGACAAAAAUGAGAUUUUGAAUUAACGAACAAUAAGAUUUCUCAAUUUUGAAUAAUAUUGGGUCAAAUUUGACACUUCUCUUUUCUUAUAUAACAAAAAGUUACAUAUAAAAAACUAUAAAAAAAUAUCCUCUAUCAAAGUUGUUUUACGAUAAAAAUAUUUAAAUAUGUACCAAAUAUUUAUAUUUAAAGAACUUAACUCUUCAAUAAUUGUUGUGUCAUAUAAAAUAAAAGAAUUUCAUUAUCAAAACAGAACCUUUUAUUUUCGAAUGACAUUUGUUCUUUUUCCUUGCCUAAACAUGUUUGUUUCUUUUUGAGAACAAAAACGGUAUUGACAAAAUAUAAUACCAAUUCUUUGACAACAAUUUUGGAAACAAUUACAAGUAAAACCCAAAAGCACCCAGGAAUACACAAAGUAAAAGUUAUUGGAAACUAAGACUAGUAUAAUAUCAAAUUUUCACGUGAAAAUUGAAGAUUUCGCGAGUGAAACUAUUAUUUACCCAAAAAAUUCUUCAACUAUUUCCAGACAGUUACUCAUUAUUUGCAAUACUGACAACAAAUCAAUAUUACAACAAAUAUUGAAAUCGAGUAUUCUUUUUAAUAAUAACAUCCCAUGUGGUUAAAUGUAUUUAUUAUUAUUGUUGGCAUCGCAUUGAGACUGAUCGACUCAAAGGGCAUAAUCAAAUUCAUGACGAGCACGACUUGUUUGUGUUCAGGCUAAAAUUAUCAUAAUUAUAUGAGGAUCAAGUUGACAUUAAGGAAGCCUUCGAAGACUGUUAUGUAUCGUCAACAAGAUAUAAUGGUUUGGCUUCAAAAGAUCGAUGUCACGAGAAAACAACACAUUAUCGACGAGGUCGAGGCGGCUCAACAGAGGACGGAGACGAGGAUGUGCACUCCCUUUAAUAAAACAGUAAUAACUAGUUUCGUGGUUAUGGUUCCCCGGAGAAUAUUUCUCCCAUUUGUACUAUUUAGGGUUUUGUGACCCAUGUACUCUUAUAAAUAGAAAGAUAUGUAUUUAUAGAGGAAAUUGGACAUUCAUUGUAAAAAAACAAUACAUUGACAUUCUCUGAAGAUUCUUCUUUUAUCAUAUACAUACAAAGUUCACCUUUUUUCUCAUAUAUUUAUCUAUCUUUUCUCCCCCGAUCCAGGAAGGAUCCGAAUAUUCAAAGACAUAUCAUUAUCUAUCCUUGUCAGAAGAAUUAUACAAGAAUAUCACCCUUUUCUGGUGACCUCCAUCUAUUUAUUUACUUAAACUAGUAUACUUUUCCACGCUUCGUGCGGUCAUACAAUUUUUUCUUAAAAUUAUGAAAAUCAUUGAUUCAAUGGAAGAAAAAAAAAUUGGCGUAGAUAAGUAAAUCGACAUUAAGCCUUACAUUAUAAUAUUUUUUUCUAUCAACGAAAUAAAAAUUUACAAUAUUAAUGCACAAAAAGUAGAACCAAAAUGCUAAUAACAAUAAAAAUUGUAUAUUUAUUAAAAAGUAAGAAAGAAGUAUGGAGAAAAAAAAAACAAAAGGGGAAUAAAAACAUAACCACGGGUUUUGUAAGCCUCGAGCGUCCCUCCGGGAACAUCAACUUAAUACAAAUGUAAAGAAAAUUAAAAUCCCAAAAAUUUCAAUCCUAAAGCACAAAGUACUGAAAUUAAGAAAAUAAUAAAAAUUGCUUGCUAAUUAACAAAACAAAAAGGAAAAAAUAAAGACAUACCAUAAACAUAGUCAUACUCUUACUAAUGACUAAAGCAAUGAUUUUAAAGCCCGUAAUGUUUCUUCAAAAUUCUUACGAUUUUAAACACGUAAGGGCAUUGAAUAAAACGUCAAAGAGAAAUUUCCCAUGAGUGCAUGGCUGAAAAGGAAAAAGAAAAAAAAAAUACGAUAUGGUUGUUAGAGUAGCCGUAAAACAAAAUUAUAGAAAGUCAAAAUCCCAAAAAAUUAACAGCCUCGUAUGCACAAAGUAACGAAUGAAAAGUAAAAUUUUAUUACAUAUUAGCCAAAUAGGCUCAAAAAAUGAGAUGUUAAUAUAUCUAAUUACUAAUAAGCAAUUACACGUGAAGGGAAGAUGUUUGAAACGUACAAUAAGGUUUAAGAAGGUGAUUUUUGGAGUUUUUUUAAUCGAAAUGUUUAAAGAGUAUAAUAAAAGUGGCAAUCAAAGAGAAUCCAUUAUUGAGCUAAUUUACUUAAAUAAAAAUAACACCAUUUGUUUUAACAUACUCUCCGCUACAAAUAUCAUAGAAAAAUUAAUUUGACAUCUUAAAUAAUGUGCUCAACCAUAUGAUAUAACAUUGCAUUAGAUGGAAGCAAUUAUUUGGUUGGUUUUAGACUUUUAGUCUACAUGCCUAUGUGCCAAUUAAUAAUUCCUAGUAUCGUUUUAUAAUGUGCUGUGUGCACAUACAAGUGAGUCAAUCUCAAGGGAAACAAUCAAUAAUAUAAUAUUAGACAUUGGAACCAAAGAAGAUACUCUCUUCAACCAUCUCUUAACUUGUAAUCAUGUAAUCUAAGACAUACUUUAUUAUAAUUAUGCUACUUCAAGAAAAAUAGUUGCUCUAUUACUACCACUUUCAAAUCCACAACUUACCAUGUACUGAGAAAAAGUAAUCAUUCAAAAGAAUAGAAAGAGAAAAUAAAUUCAAGUAGCGAGCCUAGAAGCAAAGGGUCCGAAAAAAAAAGAAAGAGAAAUAUUUCUAACAAAAAAAUUCAAACACGAUAUAAUUUGUAGGUAGUGACAUCUUCAGUUUAUCAUCAUAUUUAUUUUCUCAAGUUUUAUAUUUUAAUUAAAGUUGUCUUCAAACAACUCUUGUGCAAAAUAAACUUAUAAUCUAAAAGUUUAAUAUGCUUUUAUAAACACGUAUUUUCACUAUUGAACAAUAUACUAUCAGUAUGAAUAAUCUCAUUUAACAUCUUAAUUACCCACCACACAAAAGAGUACUAUAAGAAUUGGAAAUAUCAUAAUCUGAACUAAAAUUUUGUUUAUAAAGAAAUCAUUGUCCAUACCAUUAUGCUAUUAUUUUUUAUGCUAGGACAUAAACAUCGAGCACACCAUGUCUCAUGGUUGUAUUCUUCCAAAUUCCCUCACGCUGAAACCUUGUAAAAUAUGGAAGUACAAAUAGGUGUGAGAAUGAGUGACUUAAUGAUACCAAUUAAUGUUAGCGCAGCAAGUGCGAAAGGGUUAACGGGCGAAAGUGGAAAAGGUGUAAUUUAGAGGACUAAAAAUGUGUCUUUUGGAAUAGGUGUGAGUACGGGGAUUAAUAAGGUGCCUUUUGGAAUUUUUAGUAGAACACAAUAAAUUAUAAAAUGAAAGAAAAGGCAAAAAUUUGAGAAAAAAGAAAAAUAGCAUUCCUUGCUUGAUUGAUAGAUAUGCCACAUCACCUUCUUCCUUUCCUCAAUNNNNNNNNNNNNNNNNNNNNAUAUUCUUGAAUCAUUUACUAUAUCAUUAUUGUCGUCAUUUAUUUCCACUCAAUAGCACACGUGGGAUCUUACUACAAAAAUAUUUGGUCUAUCUUUUGGAUAUUAAUGUUGGCUAAUUAAGAUUAACCCAACUUUAUUAUAAAAUUUGAUUGUAUAAACCAAGAUCUAAAUUUUGGGUCAUAUAGCUUGGCACCGUCUGUGGGGAGCUUCUCAACCAAUUUUUUAGUUUCCAUCAGAUCCAUAACUCACGUGACUUGUUAAUCUAACAACCACAAAGUUUAUCUUUUUUCUCUGUGCGUACAAAAAUUUCCAUGAUAGGUAACCAAGGAAACGGAACGAAGGCAACAAAUAAUAUUCCCCUCAACCUCAUGAGUGCCAUCAACGAAGGCUAUGACACCCGAGAUGAGGAAGUGACACCCAUGGCCUCUCCCAGACGAGAGAGGUCGCCUGCACCUUUCUGCAGCACGACAAAACCAAAUAGGAAUGGGGCCUCCACGUCCACGGGAGACAGGGCGCCACCCGCUAUGAAAAAGCUCCUCAAAUCAUGGCUAACUGAUACUCUAGUCAGUAUGAUCGGUAAACAAGCCCCAUGCACGAUCGUAAAAAUCACGAGAAUCCAUGCAACACAACGCAGGAACGAACAGGACGACCAACCAAACCCUCUGACUUCAGGUAAAACUCACACUAUUACUAACAGUGCAGGUGACAGUGUCCUCGUCGCCGUGCUGAAAAGAAUGAAAGAAAUGAAAAACGAGAAUAGAGCGCUCAAGGACCAAAUGAAAGAGCAUCAGGAACGGGUAGAAAAAAUACUAGGUGCCCCCAAAUUAUUACCAAAAAGAGACGUCGGUGGGUUUGUGGAACAGCCGUAUAGGGAAAAAGCGUCUCCACAUGCCAUACCAAAGACCUUCAAGAUUUCCCCAUAUCUCAGAAUUUAUGACGGAACGACCGAUCCUGAAGAUCAUGUAACCCACUACGUCACCGCCGUAAAAGGCAACGACCUCACCAAAGAGCAGUCAUCCUCCAUCUUACAGAAAAUGUUUGGUGAGAAUCUCACUGGAUGGGCACUGAUGUGGAUUCACAGCUGCCAGUUUAUUCCAUAAAACAUUCGAAGAGCCGGCAAGUUCGAGGGUGAAUGAUAUCUUCGCCAUAAACAAGAAAGUUGAAACAAGGGUGAAUGAUAUCUUUGCCAUCAAACAAUCCCCAUGAGAGGGAUUGGGGGACUUCCUCGCCCGAUUGAACAGGGUGAGGAUGACCUUACCAAACGUCUCCGAAGGGAUGGUUAUGGCAGCUUUUCAGAAUGGGUUAAGCAGAGAGGGUUCAAGGGCGACUAGAAAGUUACUGAGUCGAUUAAUGAAGUACCCCACCGGCCACCUGGGAUGAAAUCCAUAAUGCUUACUGUGCUAAGGUCAGAGCAGACGACGAUGACCACAAUGGACCAACUCGACGACCCACCUCGGUACAAUCCGAGCCCAGGAAAGAAUGCAGGGACAACAUAAAGAGAGAUCAUUCAGUAUCGCGGCCAAGCAAGUAACGACACCAACCAUAUGCCAGAACGCCUGUUCCCCCCAUUUGUUAUGAAGACAACCUAUCUAGGCCGAUAUUAGGCGCUCACCGGAAUGAUCGAGGUAUGCCCCCUACUAUCUUCUCACAACUUUUGUGUAUCACCUACAGAGGUGGUCUAAAUUUUUGAGAAGCUCGGAACAAAGGUAAAAUGGCCACCAAAGAUGAGAUCCGACCCAAGCACAGGAAAUCUGACUCCCUCUGUGAGUUCCACCAAGAACGUGAACACAAAAUAUAAGAUUUCAUCGAUGUAAGACUAGAAGUAGAAAACAUGUUGCAUCAAGGGUAUCUUAAAGAACUACUCAGUGACCAAGGAACGAACACUUUAGCAAGGGGUCGAGAACGUCCAGGCCCACCAAAGCCGCCUUCGCCAGCUCGUACCAUCGACAUGAUUAUUGGUGAAAGUGACGACACCUCUAUCAAUGGCAUCAAAUUCACCGCCACCCACAAGCUUAAAAGAUCGAUCACCCAUGAACGGUAUGAUGAACUCGAAGAAAGUAUCAUCUUCGAUAAGUCAGAUGCCGACGAUUUGACUUUCCUUCAUAAUGAUGCACUUGUCAUUACUUUACGAAUUUUAGAUACUGAUGUUAAGAGAAUUAUGGUAGAGCAGAAAUGGGGUGUGCAUCAUCCAUCCCUGAGUCCUUGCAUAGAUGAGACUCGGGGAUAAGAUAGUGUCGCGUUGCAUUACACUAACCAAUUUUAAUAAUGCAGUUGAACGAACUUUGGGAGAUAUUACAUUUCUCGCCCUUGCCAGUGGGGUGACUUUAGAGACGACAUUAUAUAUUAUGGACCAGGACACCGCAUACAACGCAAUCGUGGGAAGACCAUGGAUAUACCCUAUGAGAGUCGUCCCCUCCAACUUAUUCCAAGUGAUCAAAUUCCCAAAGCCCUGGGGAAUAUUCAGCAUACAAAGCGAAUAAUGUACGUCCCGGGAAUGCUAUCGAAUUACCAUGGACGACACGAAAACUCAACAAAGGAAAGAAAAGGAAAAAUAAGCAUAGCAAUAAGUAGGGUCGAGGUCGCCGCAAGUCAAAGCCAAAGAAGUCAUUAUAGACUCAGAGAUGGUCAAAGCCGCAAGAUCAACCAUAGAAGACCUCGACCCCAUCCAGCUAGAUCAUAGCGACCUCAGCAAAAAGGCCUAUAUCGGUUGCAAACUCCGAGACCUAGGUAAAUAUAGUCAAUUCUUAGUUAACUAACGCGGAUUUAUUUGCCUUUAGUCAUGCAGAUAUGCCAGGUAUCGCCAAGGAAAUUACCACGCACAUGCUGAAUGUCGACCCCUUCUACCCCCAGUAAGACAGGUCUGACGAAAGUUCAGCCCCACAAUCAAUGAGGCCGUCCAUGUAGAAGUAGAAAAGUUAUUGACAAAUGACUAUAUCAGGGAAUCGAAGUACCCUAAAUGGAUUGCCAAUGUGGUGAUGGUUACGAAGAAAAACGAAAAAUGAAGGAUGUGUGCGGACUUCUCAAACUUGAACAAAGCAUGCUCAAAGGAUUCAUUCCCGUUGCCACACAUCGACCAACUCAUUGACGCAACGGCAUGACACGAGUUGUUAAUUUUUCUGGACGCCUACCCACGUUACAACCAAAUACUCAUGGAGGAAGAAUACCAAGAGAAGACUACGUUCAUCACCCGCAUGGGAACGUAUUGUUAUAGAGUCAUGCCAUUCGGGUUAAAGAAUGCAGGGGAUACCUAUCAAAGGUUGGUCACAAAAAUGUUCAAGGAUCAACUCGGCAAAACCAUGGAGGUGUAUAUCGAUGACCUGUUGGUCAAGUCCGUGAAAGAAGAGGAUUAUAUCGACCACCUAAAGGAAGCCUUUGAUAUACUAAGAAAGUACGGAAUAAAACUAAACCCUGAGAAAUGCGCAUUUGGCGUAGCCUCAGGGAAAUUUUUGGGCUUCUUGGUAUCACAGCGAGGGAUUGAGGUCAACCCAGAUCAAAUUAAGGCUAUCGAUGAGAUACCAGAACAAUUAACCACUAAGAAACAAGUCAAGAUACUGAUAGUCGAAUUGUCGCCCUGUCCAGAUUCAUUUCGUGCUUUUCUGAUAGGUGUCACAAGUUUUUCAGCAUACUCAAAAAAGAUAACGGCCUCGAGUGGACGCCUAAGUGCGUACAAACGUUACAAGAACUUAAGGAGCACCUAUCGUCACCACCCUUGCCCUUAAAGCCCGAGCCCGGGGAGCGCCUCCUUAUUUACCUCGCUUUCUCGGAAGUAGCGGUAAGUGCAGUCUUGGUUCAAGAAAAUAAAAGUACACAAUCUCCUAUUUAUUAUAUUAGUAAAACACUUGUCGAUACCGAGACGAGGUACCCUCACCUCGAGAAACUAGCACUUGCCCUGGUCGUAGCUUCACGAAAGCUUAGGCCAUACUUUCAGUGCCACCCAAUCUCGGUCAUCACCACUUUCCUUUUGAGAAGAAUAUUUCACAAACCUGAGCUGUCGGGGAGGUUGGCUAAGUGGGCCAUUGAAUUAAGUGAGCACGACAUCACUUAUCAGCCUCGCACAACAAUAAAGUCGCAAGUGCUCGUCGACUUCAUCGCAGUCUUUAGCGCAAAAGUAAUGCCUGAGGCUGAAAAAGAAGUCGCUCAAGCUUCUCUUCAAACAUAGGACCUUUGGGUAUUAUACACCGAUGGUGCAUCUAAUUCUUUCGAGUGCAGACUGGGACUCUUGCUCAAGGUUCCCACCGAUAAAAUAAUUUGCCAAUCCAUAAGGUGCCCAGAUAUGACUAACAAUGAGGCCGAGUAUGAGUCCGUAAUUGCAGGGUUGAGACUAGUACUCAAGUAUAGGGAGAAGAAAUUUUCGUAUCAAAAAGCAGAGGUUGCAGAAGUAUCAAACCGAGAUAUGCAGAUAGCUGCCCAAUUUCGACGAAUGCAAGCUUGACCAAAUCCCACGAACUUAGAACAUCGAAGCAGACAGCCUCGCCAAAUUGGUCGUCGCUACUAGAAGCAUAACACCCGGGGACAAGAGUAUAUUUCAUCUCCUCUGCUCGGCAUUAGACCACAUCGAGGUAAGAUCUGUAAAUUUAAUUUGGGACUGAAGCAAUUGUAUUAUUAACUAUUUGCAGGACGAUGCCCUCCCAAGCGACAAAAAGGAAGCUAAAAAGCUAAGAAUGCAAGUCGCUAGAUACAGCCUCCUUCACAACGAUUUGUAUAAAAGAACGUACGGCGGCCCCUUGGCAAAAUGCUUAGGUCCAAACCAAACCCAACGCGUUCUUGGGGAAGUCCAUGAAGGUCAUUGUGACGCUCAUUCUGGUGACCGAGCACUUGUCAGGUGCCUCAUACGGGCGGGGUAUUAUUGGCCAACCAUGAAGAAAGAUGCCUAAGAAUUUUUGAAGAAAUGCGAGCAGAGUCAAAGAUACGCCCCAAUAAUCCACCAAACAGGCGAUGUCACGACCCCAAUUUUCCUCCAUAGGAUGUCGUGACGGCACUUAGUCUCUACGCCUAGGUAAGCCUAGCAAAUAUAAAUAACUUGUCAGAAACAAUUAUCGAAACUAAAACAAAGUUGAAUAAAUAAUAUAAUUUUCGAUAAAAAAACAUAAUCUCAACAACACACUCCCCAAAAUCGGUGGAAUGGAGUCAUAAGCUCGACAGAGUAUAACUAGAGUAAUUACUACAUCACUGUCCGAAAGAAAAUACAACAGUAAAUGAGAAUAAGGAAAGGUGACUCCGAGACCUGUGAAUGCCGAGCAGACAUACCUUGAAGUCUCCGAUAAAGGCAACUAGCAGGUAAUCUCUAACGACCGACAUGAGCAGACGUAGCUGGAUCUGCACAAAAAUGUGCAGAACCGUAGAAUGAGUACACCACAAUGGUACCUAGUAAGUAUCAAGCCUAGCCUCAGUAGAGUAGUGACGAGACCAGGUCAAGACACCUACUAGAAUAUAAAUAAGCAGUAUGGAAAUGUAAUAAGUAUAAAUAAUGGAAAGCAAGAAAUACCUGAUACGAAAUAAGAUAAUAACCUGAACAAAUAUCGGAAACUAAACAUGGGAAUACAUAAAAGAAGUAUCUAAAGAAAACCCAAAUGAUCAUACAUAGACAGAAACUGCAAGAAUAAAUAAGAAUGAAACAACAAGGAAUGUUCCCACCAAAACUCUUUGCAACAUGAAAUAAAUAGCAAGAAUCACAACGAGGUACCACCUCGUGUAUAAUGAAAUCAUAACCGAGGUACCGCCUCGUAUAAUUAGGAAUCACAAUCGAGAUACCACCUCGUAUUCAAAUUUCUCAAUUUCUAUCACAAUCUUUCCGUAUACCGCGGAGUGAGCCUUACAUUUGAAAUAGGUUUUGAAAACAAUUUUCCCAAAAUAUCUACAAGAACUUUAGCCCGCGCGCCAUAGUACCCUGGCGCAGCUGCUCAAACUCCACGCGCCAUGCAUCACGAAGGGUCUGAGGAACAAACUCCCUCAAGAAUAACUCUAAAAACCGAGUCUAAGUGAGUAAAGCUACCUCGGUUGGGCAACUCUCCUCAUACACUCGCCACCACUGAUAUGCCGCUUCGGGCAGCUAGAAGGUAGUAAAAGCAACGCCACUCAUCUCCACAAUACCUAUAGUGCGGAGAACACGGUGGCACUCCUUAAGAAGUCCAUGUGCAUCCUCUAAAGCUAAACCACUGAAAGUAGGAGGGUGAUACUUCUUGAACCUCUCGAGCCUAAGCUCCUCCUCCUCAGAUGUUGCUGCCCUAACCACAGGCUGAACCUGAGUAACAGGCUGUACCAGUAUAACCUCAGGGACCUGAUCAACUUGGACCCACUACUAUGGGGUACGGGUCGCGAGAGUUUGUGCUCAUCCCCCAGCCUGAGAUGUGACUGGCGCAAUUGGAAUCAACUCGCCUGAGCUAAGGUACCGAACAUGUUCAAGAACUGUGCGAGGGUCUUCUGAAGUGUUAGGGUGGUAACAGGCACUUCGGGUGCCUGUCCCCCCGACUGGAGCUACUGAUGGCUCCUCUGUCGUAGCUCGGGCAGGUGCUCUGGUUGUACCACGUGCCCCUCCUUGGACUUUGCCCUGGCCCCGACCUCUCGUGGUUCUAGCAGGGGCGCGACUGUCUACUCAUCAGAUCCAACAGUGCGUGUCCUCACCAUCUAUGAAAGAAUAUAAAGUCAAAGAUUCAGUUUUUGAAGUCAACCAAAUCGUACGAUAAGGAAUCAAAGAAGUGAUGUUUUCCUAAUAGUUCUGUAGCCUCUCGAAGAUAAGUACAGACGUCUCCGUACUGAUACGCAAGACUCUACUAAACUUGCUUAUGACUCGUAACACCUAUGAACCUAGGGCUCUGAUACCAACUUGUCACGACCCUAAUUUCCCUCCGUAGGAUAUCGUGGCGACACCUAGUCUCUACGACUAGGUAAGCCUAGCAAAUAAUAAUAACUUGGCAUAAACAAUUAUCAAAAUACUAAAACAAAGCUGAAUAACUGAUAUAACUUUCCGAUAAAAAACAUAAUCUCAACAACACACUCCCCAAAAUCGGUGGAACAGAGUCAUAAGCUCGACAGAGUAUAACUAGAGUAAUUACUACAUCACUGUCCGAAAGAAAAUACAACAGUAAAUGAGAAUAAGGAUAGGUGACUCUGAGACCUGCGAAUGCCGCGCAUGCAUACCUUGAAGUCUCCAAUAAAGGCAACUAGCAGGUAAUCUCUAACGACCGGCAUGAGCAAACGUAGCUGGAUCUGCACAAAUAUGUGCAGAACUGUAGAAUGAGUACACCACAAUGGUACCUAGUAAGUAUCAAGCCUAGCCUCAGUAGAGUAGUGACGAGGCCAGGUCAAGACACCUACUAGGAUAUAAAUAAGCAGUAUGGAAAUGUAAUAAGGAGAAAUAAUGGAAAGCAAGAAAUAACUGAUACGAAAUAAGAAAAUAACCUGAACAAAUACCGAAAACUAAACAUGGGACUACAUAAAAGAAGCAUCUGAAGAAAACUCAAAUGAUCAUAUACGGACAAAAAUUGCUAGAACAAAUAAGAAUGAAACAACAAAGAAUGUUCUCACUAAAACUCUUUGCAACAUGAAAUAAAUAGCAAGAAUCACAAUGAGGUGCCGCCUCGUGUAUAAUAAAAUCACAACAGAGGUACCGCCUCGUAUAAUUAGGAAUCACAACCGAGGUACCGCCUCGUAUAAUUAGGAAUCACAACCGAGGUACCGCCUCAUAUUCAAAUUUCUCAAUUUCUAUCACAAUCUUUCUUUAUACCGCCGCGUGAGCCUUACAUUUGAAAUAGGUUUUGAAAAUAAUUUUUUCUAAAUAGCUACAAGCACUUUAGCCUGUCUUAUGACGUCGUGUGGAUUCACGUAGUUCCCAUACAAGCAACACGUAUAUAACUCCCACUUUAUACUGUCGCAUGCACAUCAACCCCAAGCCUUAUACCGCCGCAUACGCGUCAAUAUCACGUUACAAUAACAACUCCUACUACAAGUAACCAUUAAUCACAAUUUGCCAACAAUCCACAAUAUCAAUGUUUCCACAAUAAUAGCCCACAACUCCACCACAAUGGGUACAAGAAUAUCAACAACAACAAUGAAUGUAAAAUGCUCAAAAGGAAGAUAUUUCAACAAUAACAAUCUUGCCUCAACAUGAUAACGUCUUUUACCACUUCAACACCAAUAACUCAACAAUGAGAGACAAUGCAUAACCACGAUGUUAAAUAAGAAUAACUCACAAUGGAAGAGAUAACGUGUGAUCACGCCCAACUAUGCCUUAUAAAAAGGACUUAGCGGUUGUUGAAAAUAUAUUCCGGUUAACAAGUCCGGAUUCGAAUCCCACAGGGUAUUAACCUAUUAAACACAUCUACUAGACUCACACCAAUUCACGCAAUCAAUCUUCAGAAACAUUUAAGUAGCAAAUUUGAUGUUUACUAACUAAAUAUCACGUAAUGAAAAUGCAAUAAUUAAUAACUAACUACGAACGAGUUGUAGACAACAAUUGGGAUGAUCUAAGGUUAUGAUUUCCCCUAUUGUCGGAAUCCUUUCCGUUACAUUUUCUAUAAAUUUGCCUAAGUCUUCUCUACCGAUCAUGAAUGCUCUGAGUGUUAUAAUUUUCUCCCGAGUAACUACCACAAUUUACUAGACAUAUUCUCCCGAAUUACGCUAACUGGCAUUAAGUACGGCUCACUCGGAUCGCACCAAGGUUUCGUUAUCCUUAAUCUCACCUUUAAACCCUUCGUAUUGAUCCCUCAUAUACGUUAGGAGUAAUGUUGUUCAAUAAUUACCUAAAUAUGCACUCUCUUUCGAGUAAUACAUACUAACUAGACACAGUCGAUUGAGGGCCCUUCAAUCAACAAUAAUAAUAAUAUAGUUAAACAAAUAGAGAAAAUACUACGGAAAAUCUAUAUUAACGUAACAUGAAAAUCAUCUUCCAAUAGGUUCCAUCAAAACCCUAGAUUAGGAGUUUAGCUACCCAUACUCAUAAUAACAAUAUCCCAGAUGUUUUGCAUAAUUAAAUUACCAAGUAAAGAUGAAAGGAUGUAGAAAUCAAUGAUUCUAACUCCCAACGGCUGUGUCACGAGCUAUCCUUGCCUCUGAUUGCAAAAACUUCUUCAAAAGUGGCAUUUUAUGUCUAUUUAUAUGUGUAGGAAAAGACCUAAACGACAUAGGCCAAGUCCUAGUCAAACCAGGAGACGAAAUAAGCCUUCAAAGUUCGGAGUAUGCGUGCCUCAGACCUCGCCUCGCGAGGCUUCACGCGAGCAGUACCUCGCGCCAGACCUGGCGUCGCUAGCCUUAACGCGAGGUGGACCUCGCCUACCCUGCUCCCACACGAGCUAUUAAGCUUGCUUCUCUAGCUUUCUCAUUUAUCCGCUGCUCACUUCUUUCUUUCUUCUUUUCAACUAUUUUCGAGCACGCUUUAGACUUUAAUUAUUCCUUUUGCUCUACUUUCAUCUCCAAUUCACCUACAUAUAAAACAGACUCCAUUACGCACAAAUAAAAUGUAGUUUAUCAUUAAAGCAUACAAAAUGCAAGGCAAAUAAUAUACUAAAAUAUAGAAUUAUAGCCACACAUCAAUACCCCAUACUUAAACAUUGCUCGUCCUCGAGAAAUCAAACUACACUUAUAGACACAACCUUUUUAAGCAAUUCCCUUAACUCAUCACACCAAGAAUCUUUAAAAUAGUCUAAGCACAAAGGUGUAACAUCCUUACCUCAAGAUUUGACUCAUAAAUACCAUGCCUUAUUCACAAUUAACUUACUUACUCUAACAUGGAGGUCAAUGACAUUUACUUUCCUUUUUGACUCACGUGCCCUCACCCAACAAAGAGCUUAGUUCCACACAUAAUGAAUUUUAAGAACGUAGGAACUCAAUAUAGGAAAAAUUCAUCCGCUCUCAGAAAUAACAUUCAUAUGCCACAAAUGAUGCACCAUAGGCUUGCCCGUAGUGUAAGACUCUACUAAUCGAGCUCAUUCAGUCUAGGAUCAAGUAGGACUUUAAUUGGUUGUAUUGUAGGCUGCGGGUCGGGUAGGAUACAAUUGGAUAUGAGUGAAUACACCUCCCUUAAUCACUUUAAUACAUAUACUUUAAUACUACAUCCCAUACUUAUGUUAAACCAGAAUUCCACCUGCACUUUAAUUUAUUUUAGCCCAUACUUCUUUAAGCACAAGUAUAUCACUAGCCACCACCAGCAAGAAUUAUUUUUCAUACAAUACAGCUAUAUAUUUUUUUUCUUUCUUUUUCUUUCAAUCCAAGUGACUUUUAUUGACAUAUUUAUUUUUCUUUCAAACGGUGCACCUUUCUCCUUAUUUCAUUUGUUCCACUCAAACGCCAAAUCACCACCCCCGCACUUUAACUUUUACAUAAUUCAUCCCAAUUCAAGUGCUCAUGAGAGGUGACAAGGUUUAAAUAUAUGGUCGAUUCAAACAAAGGGGUACGAUAUGUAAUGUGGUUACCAAAGAAACAGGGUUAUAGGCUCAAAGGAGUUAACUACGUUAUAUGACAUUCAAGCGGGUAAACUCUAUAUAUCUGGCUCAACAAAGAAACGCAUAUAUCACUUCCCAGACUGAACAAGACUACCAUUUUGCUUUGCACACGCGCGGGGCAAGUUCUAGACAUCAAAUAAAAUGCACUGACUAAAUACAAACCUCACACAGACAUGGCACAUAACUUACUCAGGAUUGGUUUUAUCACGACACUCCAGUCAGGGCAAUCAAGCAAAUUUAAGAAUAUACGAUUUAAUGUACUUAUACUAGAGUAAAAAACUAAGCCUAAGCGUCACAAUCAGAGUAAUAACUGUUCUCAAGGCAUAACAAAGUUAAGAGAUAUCGCUGCAAUUCAAUUCAUAACCAGUGAUUUCUACUCCUAAAAAUUAAAACUAACUACACCCGGUUCAAAUAAAACUCUUGGAAAAGAACCGCGGCUCAAAGAAAAACCAAGGGGGAAUUACUACACUACCUACAAGAAAAUCUCUUUUUUUAGACUUAAUUCCCUCAAGAAAACUGUCUAAGAGAUCCAUCGUUGGGAAGAGUCCAAUUUUUAGAGAAAACGCUAAGACGACCUAACUAAAUUUUUUUUAACUAAAACAAGACUAAUAUUUACAAGAUACCACCCCACACUUAUUUCUCAUGCAAUGUCCUCAAUACAUACACAAAAUGACAAAACAAGAAAAAAAUGAGUAGGGUGUAGGAAAACUCCCUGAUCAAGCCAUGUCAUCGCCAUCCUCCUCUAAGGAUGCCCACUCCUCCUCUUGUGCUUCCUCCUUCUCCUCCUCCUCAUCAUCAUCGUCAUCUGACUGCUCCAGCUCGGCCUCAGACUGCUCAGAUCUGUUGACAUCCUCAUCAUCUGGGAGUCUGUAUCCAUCACCAAGCCCAACCAGCUACUGAGCAUGAGCAUUGAGCGGGAACCCUUGGUCCAAUAUGGCCCUCUCCUCUAUAGUGGUCGACCGUCCCCCGAUCCGAAGUUGCAGGUCCAUCAUCUAAUAUAAGUGGGCCAUAAAACUGUCAUCGCGAGCAUUGCGCUCGGCACCUGUCAGUGAUGGCAUCGUAGUCUCCUCCUUCACCCGGAUACUGGUAAUGUCUAUUAGUCUUAGAGGCUAAUCAAUGAUGUGAUGGAACACUGGCUCCUCCUCAACCUCUUCGUCUCUCAAGAACUGAGUUAACAUAUUUGCAAAUGGCAUUCGAUCGAUCCUCUUACUAGUUCUUACUACAGACAUCUGGUAGCGGAUCAAAUGACCCACAUUCACCAUCUGACCCGUCAUGAAGAAAUAUAGCACACAUGUCCUCUCACGGCUAUUAAUCAGUUUCAGCCAUACUUGAGCCUCUGCCCUCAUCUUCUUCUUGGGAAUUUCCUGUGUCGAUUUGUUUUCUUAUCCUGAACCCAAGCUGCCAUUGAAUUGACACCACAAAGAGUGUGUCUCAGCCCUCGAUAUGUAGGACGAGCGAUGAAGUAGUCCAAUGUCUACUGAGGCACAUCCGGAGCACCUAAGAAAUUACAUAUUGUCAUGGCUGAAAAAUUUAUCAACCGUCCACUAAUCGACACCAGUUGUUCAGGAUCCUUUGGAUCAAACCCGGCAUAGAAUUCCCGAACCAGAUUAAGAUUUAUAUCCCAUGUAUUUUUGAACACAUAACUCAACCCCAACUCCUUGAUGCCUCUCCAAAUCGCUUGGUACUUGGCUUGCAGGCGACGCUUAUGAAUAGCAGUUUCUGGUGGUACAUGUUUUGGCCUGCAACGCAUGUACCAAUCCUUAGUGUGUGGGGGUAUGCUUUUGAGUCCAAACUCCUGUUGUCCUUGAGAUCGUGUACGAGUGGUUGCGAUAGCUGCCACUGCUUGCAGUCCUUCACUUAGACUAGAAGUAGCUUCCCUUUCUUUUCUCUUCUUCGAGGGAGGUACGGAGGUAGCCUUAGCUUUAGAUGGAGCAGUGGAUGUGGCUUUGCCUCUACUGGUAUCUUUUCUUGGAGGCAUAUUCGCACCUACACAAGUGAGCAUGAAUCAGUUUAAGCUACAUUGCAACAUGUCACAACAUGAUCUUGCACCCCACACUCAAGAGUUUAACACAUGAUUAUCAAUAAUUUUCGAGGUUACUCAGACUUCACCUCAUUGUUUCUUUGUAUGAGAAUCAAGCAAUGGCACAUGGGUGCUUCCUCCAAUUUCGAAGCAUCAGGCUACCAGUGAGCCACCCCACACUUAAGAUUUUAAAGUGGUGCAUGACUACAUAGCACUAGUAUGAUAAUCCCAGAGACUCGGGCUCUAAUGGGGACAAAGAAUGCCUUUGAGGCAUUAUAACAAACACUUAGCAAGCACUAGUGCCACGAGAGUGCUUGUAGGGGUGAGGGAUUGCCUCACCCUCCCUAAUCGGCUUGGGAGUUCCGUACUACCACUUGUUCACACAAUAGCAACAACAUUUCUAUGGGGUUCAUGUGGUUGGGACCCACAAACACAUGGUUACAAUGAAGAACAACCCCAAAUAUUUGUGUCCAAUGUCAUGCAUUCACCCAACUCGAAAUUGCCAAAGAGUGGAGAUAGAAACCAUACCUUAGAUGAUUAAGAGAAGGGAUUUGCCUUUGAAUUGUUGUUGCUAGUGAAGGAAAUAGCAGAAGAUUGCUUGUCUUCAAUGGAGUUGUGAGGGGGAGGUUUUGGCAGUGUUCUGCGUGAGUGUGUGUUUUGUGAGCAGUGGGGUUUGUGUGGGAGGAGAAGAGGAAAAUUGGGAUGUGCAGUGUGUUUUCUUUUAGGCGUGGGUCUUUUAAGUUGGAUUUUUAAGAGGGGGAAUUAAAGGAAAACAAAACAAAAAGAAAAUCAAAGCAAAAAUAACUAACCUGGCGACGCGAGCUCUCAGGCGAGUGACAUACCUGGCGAGGCGAACUCAUAGGCAUACGACGCGAGGGAUUCUGCGAGAUGUGUCUCGCUAUAACCCAUGCGAGGCGAGCUCCUUAGCAAGCUCAAUACCUAGCACCGCAUGGCUUAAUGCCUGGCCCAGCUUGCUGGAGACCAGGCAACACGAGAUACUACAUACGACUUUCCGAAAUCACCUGCAAACAUGUUAGUUCCUAAAAAUGAAAAGAAAAAUUCUAACUACACUAAAAAUCAACUAUGAAUUGGGUUGCCUCCCAACGAGCGCCUUAGUUAACAUCACGGCAUGACGAAUACAACUUUAUAAUGGGUUACCUCCCAUGAAGUGCCUGAUUUAACAUCCCCGCAAGGCGCAGGUAAUCGCACUUAAGGCUCGCUCAACAUUGGUGGCUCGAGCAAAUGAGUCACCGACACUACUUUCGCGUCAUCCAUGUCCAAAUAAUAUUUUAACCUAUGCCCAUUAACUCUGAACGUGCGAGAGUCAUUUUAUGCACCAAUCUCUACGGCUCCGGUAGGUGAAUCUCUACCACACGAAAUGGUCCCUGACCAUCUUGACUUCAAUUUGCCCGGAAACAACCUCAAUCUCGAAUUGAAUAAUAAUACCAUGUCUCCCGGCUUAAAAUUUCGCUCAAGAAUAUUUUUGUCGUGCACCAGUUUCAUUCUUUCCUUGUAUAACCUUGUACUCUCAAAAGCAUGGUACCGAAACUCGUCAAGUUCAUGCUACUCUGUGACUCUACUAGUUCCACCGGCCUCCACAUCCAGAUUUAAUUAUCGCAAUUCCCAGGAGGCUUUAUGCUCUAACUCCACCGGCAAGUGACAUGCCUUUCCAAACACCAAUUUAUACGGCGACAUUCCAAUCGGAGUUUUGAAUGCAGUGCGGUAAGCCCAUAACGUAUCAUCCAAUUUUCUUGCCCAAUCAGUCCGACUAGCAUUUACAGUUUUGUUCAAAACACUCUUGAUUUCUCUGUUUGACACCUCGACUUGCCCACUUGUUUGUAGGUGAUAUGGAGUGGAAACUUUGUGGAGAACGCUAUAUUUCUCCAAUAGCUUUUCAAAGGCUCGGUUGUAGAAGUGGGUACCCCCAUCACUGAUGAUAGAUUUUGGAGUGCCAAAUCGGGUGAAGAUGUUCUUUCUCAGGAAACCAAUAACUGCCUUCGCAUCAUUUGUAGUAAGUGCGACGGCUUCUACCCAUUUUGAGACAUAGUCCACCGCUACAAGUAUAUACUUGUUAUUGUAGAUAACAAAUGGUCCCAUAAAUUCGAUUCCCCACACAUCAAACACUUUUACCUCUUGGAUCGGUUUCAUGGACAUCUCAUGUCGAUAGGAAAUAUUCCCCGUUCGUUGGCACUCAUCAUAAUUUUUCACCCAGAAGUGUGCAUCUUUAAACAUCGUCGGCCAAUAAAAACCUGACUCCAACACUUUAGACGUUGUCCUUACACCCCCAAAAUGUCCUCCAUACGGUGAAGCAUGACAUGCCUGCAAAAUAGAAGAUUGAUCUAUCUCGAGAAUACAUCUCCGGAUCAUGUUAUCAAGACAAAUCCUAAACAGAUAUGGUUCAUCCCAGAAAUACAUGUGACAAUCACGAAAAAACUUUUUCUUUUGCACAGAAGACAAGUCAUAAGGAACAAUACUGCUUGCCAGGUAAUUUGCAAUAUUUGCAUACCAUGGUGUAGCAUCGAGGCUCGUCGCUAAGAGUUGUUCAUCCGGGAAAGUCUCCACAAUCUCUUCCACCUCAACCUUCUUUUCGUCUCCUUCCAGCCUAGACAAGUGAUCAACCACUUGGUUCUCCGUUCCCUUUCGGUCACGAAUUUCCAAGUCAAAUUUUUGCAGCAGUAGCACCCAUCGAAUCAGGCGCGACUUUGACUCCUUCUUCUCAAUUCGGUACCUGAGAGCAGCAUGGUUAGUAUAAACAAUUACUUUCGAGCCAAUCAGGUAUGACUUGAAUUUGUCAAAUGCGAACACCACUUCUAGCAUCUCCUUCUCGGUCACUGUGUAAUUUAGUUGGGAACCACUCAAAGUUCUACUUGCGUAGUAUAUUGGAUGCAUGACUUUAUCUUUUCGCUGCCCAAGAACUGCUCCCACAUCAUAGUCUCUCGCAUCACACAUCGGCUCAAAUGGUUGCCCCCAGUCGGGUGCAACUAUGAUAGGUGCUGUUACUGGCCUCUUCUUCAAUUGCUCAAAAGCUACCCUGCAGUCAUCAGAAAACAGAAAAGGGGGAUCUUUUCCAAGCAAUUUACACAAGGGGUUAGCAAUUUUGGAGAAGUCUUUUAUAAACUGUCUAUAGAAACCGGCGUGGCCAAGAAAACUUCUUAUUGCUUUGACAGAAGUGGGUGGUGGAAACUUUUAUAUCACAUCAACCUUUGCACGAUCCACCUCAAUGCCCUUACUCGACACUAGGUGCCCCAAGACUAUACCUUCCUAUACCAUGAAAUGGCACUUUUCCCAGUUGAGCACCAAAUUAGUCUCCACACAUCUUUUCAGUACUCUUUUCAAAUUCUUUAGGCAAUCAUCGAAUGAGUCUCCUACCACUGAUAAAUCAUCCAUAAAUACCUCCAUUAUAUCCUCUACCAUAUCUGUGAAGAUGGCCAUCAUGCACCUUUGAAAUGUGACAGGUGUAUUGCAUAGGCCGAACGACAUUCUCUGGAAAGCGUAGACGCCAUAUAGACAGGUGAAUGCCAUUUUUUCUCUAUCUUCCGGAGCAAUGAAGAUCUGAUUAUACCCCGAGUAUCCAUCUCGAAAGCAAAAGUGGGACCUCCCGGCCAGUCUAUCUAGCAUUUAAUCAAUGAACAGCAAGGGAAAGUGGUCUUUUCGGGUGGCCUUGUUUAAUCUUCUGUAGUCCAUACAAAUUCGUCAUCCCGUGACUGUUCUUGUUGAUAUCAACUCAUUGUUAUCGUUUUGCACUACAGUCAUCCCACCUUUCUUUGGCACACAUUGGACUGGGCUGAUCCAGUUGCUAUCGGAGAUGGAAAAAAUGAUCCCCGCAUCUAACCACUUUAUCACCUCCUUUUUCACAACUUCCUUCAUGUUGGGGUUCGGCCUUCUUUGAUGUUCUCUGGAAGGUUUGUGGCCAUCUUCCAGUAGAAUAUUAUGCAUACAGAAGGCCGGGUUGAUACCCUUAAUGUCUGCAAUGGUCCAACUAAUUGCAGUUUUGCACUCAAUCAAUACCUGCAAAAGCUAAUCUUUCUGCACAUCUAACAAACUCGAUGAGAUAAUAACAGGUAAAGUUAAGUUAGGUCCCAAGAAAGCAUACAUGAGAUGGGGUGGUAGUGGUUUUAGUUCCAACUUUGGUGGCUCUUCUCUCGAUGGCUUAGCUAGAGGAGUUUUCCUUUCUUCUAAGUGCAAAGGCUCAAAUUCGAGCUCUCUUUUCCAAAACCCUUGGCCUUCAAGAGCCAGUACCCACUCCACCAAGAUCUCUCCAUUUGCUUCAUCUAAGUUCAUGAGACAGGUUGCUAGAGGGUCUUUAGCGUCCAAGGUCUCAUCUUCCUCCUACAAAAUUACAUCCACACUCUCUAUUAGAGAGCAGUUAGCAAAUUCACUUGGUCACCGCAUAGAUUUCUGCAUAUUGAAUGUUAUCUCUUCAUCAUUUAGUCUCAUUUUUAGCUCUCCAGUUUCACAAUCAAUUAAAUCUCUCCCAGUGGCCAAGAAUGGUCUUCCCAAAAUUAUGGGAAUCUCCUCGUCAACCCGGCAGUCCAGAAUGACAAAAUCUGUUGGGAACACAAACUUCCCAACCUGUAUUAAUAUAUCAUCAAGGAUACCUGAUGGCCUCUUCAGUGUCCGGUCGGCUAGCUGUAGUAGCAUGGAUGUGGGUCUUGCUCUUCCAAUGCCUAAACUUUUAUAGAUAGACAAGGGCAUCAAGUUUAUGCUUGCCCCCAAAUAGCACAAUGCUUUAGCAAAAGCAUAGCUGCCUAUCGUGCAUGGGAUUGUGAAACUCCCUGGGUCUAACAACUUCUCAGCUAUGGGUCUCGUCACGACUGCGCUAUAGGUCUGGGUCAAUGUAACAAUGGACAGGUCUUGGAAGUUGAAUUUGCGAGACAUUGAAUCUUUCAUCAUUUUGGCAUACCCAUGCAUCUCCCACAAAGCGUCAAUCAGUGGAAUGUUCACUUGGAUUUGUUUCAAUAUCUCCAUAAAUUUCUUAUACUGCCCAUCCUUCUGAUAUUUGGCCAAUCUCUGUGGGAAUGGUUCUGCAGGUCGCAUCCGUCCUGUGAUUUGAGUUUUAUCUUGCUCAGGAACUGCUUCUACUGUUGUUUCUUGUGCUACCUCAGUCUCAUUCGCAACCUCUUUUUCUUUGCUUGUGCUCUCUUGUGCAUAUUGUACCGUCACCUCAGUUAACCCUGUUGAAUUAUCUAUCUCAAUUGGUACUGGCACAAGUGUUUCCGUAGGUCGGCUUUCGCGAGCAAUUUCUUGCUCCAGAUCUAGGUCUCUACCAUUUCUUAGACUCACUGCCAUAAGCAGUUUUGGGCCCUGCUCUUUUGGAUUGACUUGUGUAUUUGCAGGUAACAUCCCUUGGGGACGAUUAUUUAGAGCCAUCAAAGUCUGUCCUAAUUGAAUCUCAAUGCCCUUUUAUCGUUGAUUCAUGUGAGUCCACUCUCUCUUGCAUUUUUCCAUUAGACCCAAUCAGUUGUCGCAGCUUUCCUUUAAGUUUAACAAACCCAUCAUCUUGUCUCACUAUCUGUUGUUGUUGAGGCUGUGAUACGCUAGCUGCUGAUUUUGCUGGUUGUAACCCUGUUGCCGUUGGUAAGGCACAACUUGACCCUGUGGUCGCAUAGCUCCAAGAUUGUUGCUGUUAUUGUACUGUUGUUGUGCUGGCCUAUAUUGUUGAUUCUGCUGCCCCCAAUUCUGACCACCUUGCCUCUGUCCCCCAUAGUUGGCCACAUAGUUCAUAUCUUCCUGAUAGUGCUGGUUGUCACCUUCCGCACUCCACGAACAUACAUAUGGUUGGUUAAUGCAUGGUAUACAUAAGCCCCCGUUAGUUGUGUCAACUAUGUGUACCUGCUGCUUCUGGACUGAUUCAUCGAUCUUUUUUGGUGAUGAUACUCAUCUGCGUCAUUAGAGUGGCCAUAUUUUCAGCUAUGGAGUUGUUUGGGUCCAAAGCCACUGAAUGCACUAUAGGAGUGAUCUUAGAGUCUCUUGUCAUCCAUCCUGAGUUUUGGCCCAUUUUUUCAAGUAGGAUCUUGCAUUCUCUGAAUGUUUUGCUAAAAAAUGCUCCAUCUGUUGAAGCAUCAACAUUGGCCUUUAAGCCGUCUUCCAGUCCCAUGUAAACCCUCUGCCCCAACAUCUGAUCUGGAAUGCCAUUAUGUGAACAUUUAACCAGCAUACCCUUGAACCUCUCCCACAUUUCUUGUAGUGUUUCUGUUGGUCUCUGCCUGAAGCUCAAUAUAUCAUCAAUUUAUUUGGCAGUCUUAUUGGGUGGGUAGAACUUGUUCAAAAAUUGCUUGACUAAUUCCUCCCAAGUAGUGAUGGAGCUUAUGGGGAGUGAAUUAAGCCAAGUCUGAGCUUCUUCUGUCACCAAGAAUGGAAACAAUAACAGCUUUAUUGCUUCCGGUGUCACAUUAGGUUUCCUUUGUAUGAUACAUAUCGACAGGAAAUUCUUCAGAUGCUACUGAGGAUCUUCAAUGUAUGACCCUGAGAACAGUCCCUUGUUCUGCAACAAAUGUAGCAUGUUAUUUGUGAUUUGAAAUGACUCUGCUUGUAUAUGAGGGACUGCAAUUGCAGUUGCCAGAUAUUCAGCGGUGGGUUGUGCCUAGUCAUACAAUGCUUCUUCUGGCACAAGAGGCACCACACCCUGAUUGUUCAGGUCAUUCUCAGUGUUUCUGUUGUUUGGAUUUUCUACUCCGUCAUCCAUGUCUUGUUCGAUUUGUUCUGUUAAGUUUUGUUCUUGUUUGCCAUUCUUGUUUGCAUGAUUCAAUGCCUUGAAAACUUUCUCAGGAUCUGAUUAUGCUUCGAAUAAUUCACCAGUUCUUGAGGAGUUUCUAGGCAUGCACAUGUAGCACCCAAGACUACAAACGUUAGAAUUUCAAUGUAUUUGGUUUAAAAUGAAGAAAAUUGACUACACUAAGAAUUCUAGCAAUUCUUUUAGCUGCAAUUAAUAACACCGUUAGCUCCCCGACAACGGCGCCAAAAUUUGAUCACGCCCAACUAUGCCUUGUAAAAAGGACUUAGCGGUCGUUGCAAAUAUAUUCCGGUUAAUAAGUCCGGAGUCGAAUCCCACAGGGAAUUAACCUAUUAACCACAUCUACUAGACCCGCACCAAUUCACACAAUCAAUCUUCAGAAAUAUUUAAGUAACAAAUUUGAUGUUUACUAACUAAAUAUCACGUAAUGAAAAUGCAAUAAUUAAUAACUAACUAAGAACGGGUUGUAGACAAGAAUUGGGAUGAUCUAAGGUUAUGAUUUCCCCUACUGUCGGAAUCCUUUCCGAUACAUUUUCUAUGAAUUUUCCUAAGUUUUCUCUAACGAUCAUGAAUGCUCUGAGUGUUGUAAUUCUCUCCCUAGUAACAACCAUAAUUUACUAGAUAUAUUCUCCCGAAUUACGCUAGCUGGCCUUAAGUAUGGCUCACUCAGAUCGCACCAAGGUUUCGUUAUCCCUAAUCCCACCUUUAAACCAUUCGUAUUGAUCCCUCAUAUACAUUAGGAGUGAUGUUGUUCAAAAAUUACCUAAAUAUGCACUCUCUCCCUAGUAAUACAUACUAAAUAGGCACAGUCGAUUGAGGGCCCUUCAAUCAACAACAAUAAUAAUAUAGUUGAACAAAUAAAGAAAAUACAACGGCAAAUCUAUAUUAACGUAACAGGAAAAUCAUCCUCCAAUAGGUUUCAUCAAAACCCUAGAUUAGGAAUUUAGCUACUCAUACUCAUAGUAACAAUAUCCCAAAUGUUUUGCAUAAUUAAAUUACAAAGUGAAGAUGAAAGGAUGUAGAAAGCAAUGAUUCUAACUCCCAAUGACUGUGUCACGAGCUAUCCUUGCCUCUGGUUGUAAAAACUUCUUCAAAAGUGGUGUUUUAUGUCUAUUUAUAUGUGUAGGAAAAGAGCUAAGCGACAUAGGCCAAGUCCUAGUCAAACCAAGAGACGAAAUAAGCCUUCAAAGUUCGGAGUGUGCGCGCCUCAGACCUCGCCUCGCAAGGCUUCACGCGAGCAGGACCUCGCGCCAGACCUGGCGUCGCCAGCCUUAACGCGAGGUGGACCUCGCCUCCUGCCUCGCCUAGCAUGCUCCCACGCGAGUUAUUAAGCUUGCUUCGCCAACUUUCUCAUUUAUCCGCUGCUCACUUCUUUCUUUCUUCUUUUCAACUGUUUUCGAGCACGCUUUAGACUUUAAUUAUUCCUUUUGCUUUACUUUCAUCUCCAAUUUACCUACAUAUAAAAUAGACUUCAUUACGCGCAAAUAAAGUGUAGUUUAUCAUUAAAGCAUACAAAAUACAAGGCAAAUAAUGUACUAAAAUAUAGAAUUAUAGCCACACAUCAACGUGCAGCAAUAACUUCAAAUAGUGGGAGUCAACAAUGAAAAAGAUAACAUGACCAAUAACUUCAAGUAAUGGUAAUCAACAAUGAAAGAGGCAGCAUGAACAAUAACUUCAGUUAAUGAUAAUUAACAAUGAAGAGAUAUCAUAUAAUAAUNNNNNNNNNNNNUAGAACAAGUAUUAACGAAAUCAUUUAAGGCAUGUAAAGAUAGACUAACACAAGUAAGAAUAGAUUGACUAAGAGAAUUAGAACAUGAUACGACAUUUAACUAAAGCAUAAAAAUAGUCUAAGUAGCCUAAGCCGGUCAAAUACCACGUACAACCCGUGUACCCACUCGUCACCUUGCGUACACGGAUUUCAUUUAGUAAAAUUGAAUCAAACCAUACCAAUCCUAAGGAAUAGUUCCCCCACACGAAGUUAGGCAAGACACUUAUCUCAACUAGGCCAAUUCAACACUCGAAAAUAUCUUUUCCAUUAAAACCCGCCUCCACACGGCUCAAAUCUAACCAAAAUCAAUCUAAUAUCAUCAAAACAAUGCUAGGGAAUUUAAUUGCAAUAGAUAAAGCUAAAGUCUUUACACUUUUCCCAAAAAGUCAACAAAAGUCAACUCGGGACUUGCACGGUCAAACCUCGGGUCCAAUGGUAGAUUCCGUCUACCCAUGGCCCCACGAGUUAAUAUAUGUUAUUAGUUUCAAAAUCCGAGUCCAAAUCGACUCUCAAAUCUCAAUUUCUUAUUUUUCAAAAACUUCACAAAGUUUCACUAAUUUUCACUUUGAUUCACAUGAUUUUGAUGUUACAAUAUUAGAUAUGUUGAUUGAAUAUGAUUAGAAAUGGAUUAGAACCACUUACUCAAGGUUUGUAGGUGAAAAUCCCCUCUCCAAAUCGCCUCCUACCGAGUCUAUGGUUCAAAAAUGAGAGAAUGGGUUCAAAAAUCCCGUCUCUCAGCCCUUUAACCAGAUGCAGAUGUCGCAUUUGCGACACAGGAUUCAUAUUUGUGAACACUCGCAAUUGCGGACCAGGACUCGCAUUUGCGAACACUGACAACCUUAGUCAACAUCGCAAUUGCGAUGAUAGCUUCACAAUUGCGAACUGGUGGGCAUCGCAAAAGCGAACAAUUGUUCGCAAAUGCAAACCUAGGUGAAGUUUGACAGUCUUGACAAUUGCGACAUUAGAUCCCCCAUUGUCGCCUUCGCAAUUGCGAUGUUGGUGCUCUCAAUUGCGAUACCUGAGCACCAGCAACACUAACAGUCCAAUUUCAGUCCAAAACCAUUCUGAAACAUGUCCGGAACUCAUCCGAGCACUCGGGGCUCCAAACCAAACAUCCACACAAGUCUAAAAAUACCAUACAAACUCGCUUGCACGAUCAAAACACAAAAAUAAUAUCUAAAACUAUGAAUUGAACUAAAAAACGCAUGAAAUACAAGGAAAUUUUCACGAACUUCUAGAAUUAAAACUAAACGUCUGAAUCCUAUCAAAUUAACUCCAAAUGACACCAAAUUUUGCUGACAAGUUAUAAAUACCAUAACGGACCUAUUCCAAGUUCCAAAAUCAAAUUCUGAGCUAGAUAGCUAAAAGUCAACCUACAGUCAAACUUUUCAACUUCAAAUUUUCAAAUUUCAGCCAAUCAACACAAAUUAACCUAUGGACUUCCAAAAUCAAUUCUGAGCAUACACUCAGUUCCAGGGUCAUUUUCACAAAAGUCAAAGUUUGGUAAACAUUUUCUAAUUUGAACUUCUAAGUCAAGGAUCAAGGGUCCAAAUUAAUCCAAAAGCUUCCCGGAAUAAAACGAACCAACCCCGCAAGUCAUAAAAUCAUAAAAACACAUGCGUGAUGCAAUAAAUAGGGUAAUAGGGCACAAUUAAACAAAACGACCGAUCGGGUCAUUACAGGCGAACACCUCUACUUUGCCACCUCUCCAAGUUCAUUUAUUAAAUGGGGAAUGGACAUCAUGGGACUACUUCCGCAAGGACGAGGUAACAUAAAAUUCCUUUUAGUUUUAACUGACUAAUUCUCUAAGUGGGUAGAAGCAGGGGCAUUCUCCCAAGUUCGUGAGCAAGAGGUAAUCGCCUUCAUAUGAAAAAAUAUCAUAUGUAGAUUUGGCCUACCUAAAGAGAUAAGUUGUGACAACGGUCCCAGUUCACGGGGAGGAAAACCAUCAAGUUCUUCGAGAAGUGUCACAUUAAAAGGAUACUUUCAACUCCUUACCACCCGACAGGCAACGGACAGGCAGAAGCCUCCAACAAAUCUAUCUUAAGCAUCAUGAAGAAGAAGCUCGAAGAGGCCAAGGGACUAUGGCCUAAAAUACUCCCAGAAGUAUUAUGGGCGCAUAGAAAAACCCCGAAGACAAGCAUAGGGGAGACGCCUUAUUCUCUAGUCUACAGAACGGAAGCAGUUAUACCAGUCAAAUUCGGAGAACUCAGCCUGAGGUACUCCCAUGAAAGCGACACUGACAAUGAUGAGAAUACGAGACAAGACCUCGAUGAGGUCGAAGAGCGAUGAGACAUGGCAUAAAUAAGGAUGGUCACACAGAAACAACAAGCAGAAUGCUACUACAACAAAAAGGCAAAGGUUCGAUUGCUCAAGAUCGAGGACUACGUGCUCAAAGCCAAGAUCCAAGAAAACAGGGAGCCACGAGAAGGCAAGUUGGAAACCAACUGGGACGGACCACACAAAAUCAUAGGCAAAGUAGACAAGCGUUCGUUCCAAUUGGAAACUAUGGAAGGGAAGCUCUAUCAAACAAUUGGAAUAUCAACCAUCUCAAGUACUUUAACAUUUGAAAAACAAAAAUGCCCUAUAAGUCGUACUCUUUUUUCCCUCACUUGAGUUUUUUACCAAUAGGGCUUUUUUAAGGAGGUUUUUAAUGAGGCGACGAGAAGGACACUUCGAGUUGGCAUACACGAGAGCAGAUAUAUUUUUCAUUGCCCGACUCCUCAAGAGUUUCCAAGUCGAAUAAUGAAGGGACUAGAUAUACUGAGACUGGGACUGGAAUGCCAGCCAACUCCCAAAACUUAUAAUUUUCUCCAAAAGUUGCCUAAGGGUGAAAUGAUGUAAUUGAAACAACUAUGUUGAAAUAAUAAAAAUGCAUGCCUGAUCUAAACUGCUCUCCAAAACGGUACGUUCGAUCAACUUGAACAACACUUAUCAGCCCACGGCCACAACCUAGUAAAAGGUAAGUUCGACUAGUUCGAACAACUCCUAUUGGCCCACGGCCACGACUUAAUCAAAUGUACGUUCGACGAGUUCGAACAACACCUAUUGGGCUUGGCCAUAACUUAAUCAAAGGUACAUUCGACCACUUCGAACAACACCGAUCGGCCCUCGGCCAGGACUUAAUCAAAGGUACGCUUGACCAGUUCGAACAACACCUAUCGGCCCUUGGUCAUGACUCAAUCAAAGGUACAUUCGACCAAUUCGAACAAUACCUAUCGGCCCUCGGCCACAAUUCGAUGAAAGAAAAAUUUCUACCUAACUCAACGAUAUGUUCAUCCCAUUCGAACAACACAUAUCGGACCUCGGCCUAAACUCGAGUAGAAGGUAAUAAUGAAGAAAAUACAGGAACAUAACACAAGUACAAAAACAAUGCACAAAGACAAAAAGGUAUAAAACUAAAACAAAUUAUUGUAUUUCAUAAGAAGAUUUUACAAAGUCGUUCAAAGACGCCAACAAAAGAUACAAUACAAAAGUUGAGCAAAAAAUGUUAACACUCAAGGUAGUCACCACCCCGAUCUCCACCAUCCUCUCCUUAUCCGCCUCGACCAUAAGUGGAGUCCUACUAAGCAUUAUCUGCAAGAUGGUCCAUACCCCCUUCAUCAUCUUCCUCGAAAUCGGGUUGAGGCGUGGCAGGAUCAUAAUCAUAGUCAAGUCGGGCCUCGCGAGCUUUAACUCGAGCCUCCUCGAGGGCUGUCUCAGAGAUAGAGCCGGUCUUGUUCAAUUCACGGAUCACGUCCAAUCGGGCUUCAGCGUGGAUCCAGUUCUCGUACCUAUCUCGGGAAAUGUCAGGAAACUUAGAGGCGUGAGACACAGAGGGCCACUCGAGCAAUCGGGCAUUUUUGGCCUCAAGAACUGCAACUCGCUCUAGAAGCUUGGAGUUCUCCUUACCAACUCUCCAAUCCUCUCCUCGAGCCUGGUUUCCUUAGCCAUGGCCGCCCAAAGAAUGUUAUUUUGUCCAGAAUAGAGAGUUCUAUUCGCCAAUUCCAAAAUAUCAGCCCCCCUACGAGCCUCCGUUCGGGAGGACUCCACCUCCUCAAGCAUUCACUUCUUCUCAGCAACUUCCCUCCUAAGAGAGUUGAUCUGGAGUUGGUAUCCAUCCAACUGACUUUACAGUUGAACUACUUGACUUUGGAGGUCACUACACUGGGCCUCCACUCCUUUGCUCAUUUUAAGAUCCUCUUCCUUCCUCCUCAACGCCCCCUCGAGAAUGUUGAACCUCUCUACGGCCACCAUCAACUCCUCAUCUUUCUUCUUCAACUCCUCCCUCAAGGCCGGUAUGCCGCCCUCCCCGCAAAGCCAUCUUUGAGCGUCCUGGUACUUCCUGCAGAACUCCUGGUAUUUACCCUUCAGCUCUGUUAAAUCUCUUUCCAUUUCAUCUCCCUCCAUAUGCUUUCAAUUUCUAGAAUGAUAGUAUGCAAAUCAAAGGGGAAAAAAAUUCAAAGCUUAGAAGAGAGUCAAAAUAAAAGAAAAAGAACAAGGGACGACUACACUUACCCUGAGACGAGGCCGACAAUGCUCUUCGAUAGGGUGUCAUCGUCAGUUCUUUGAGGGUCACUUGUUCGGCUUCGGAGCAAAGAGGACCAAGAGCGUUGACCACGUCCUUGGUAAUUUUCAGCAGAUCACGAUCCAUGAGAAUCGUGAUAGUUCUUUAAUCCCCCUCCAUCCUUACCUUGAUCUGAGUAUUCCCCUCGUCGAUCAUCUUAAUCCUCGGGGUCCAUGUCAAAAUCCGAUUCAUCGCUCUCUUCGACGGCACCCUUGCCUUUGUCCCCAUCAGCAGGGGAAGCAUCCCUUGCCUACCUAGAAGAAGAGGCUUCCUCUUGCCCUAAAGGCGCAGAGCUAUCACCGAAUGCCCCCUUCGCAACCUUCUCAUCCUC
RNAcentral lists this long non-coding RNA (83612 nucleotides) under Nicotiana tabacum (common tobacco). Its description in RNAcentral is "long non-coding RNA (NTAB_LNC015631)". The stretch from base 41595 to 41700 matches the Rfam family "Small nucleolar RNA Z279/snoR105/snoR108". The record is from RNAcentral. Lineage: Eukaryota; Viridiplantae; Streptophyta; Magnoliopsida; Solanales; Solanaceae.